This 71223-nucleotide long non-coding RNA is filed under the name Triticum aestivum (bread wheat). Its description in RNAcentral is "long non-coding RNA (TAES_LNC014857)". The stretch from base 31621 to 31735 matches the Rfam family "MIR1120/MIR1122 microRNA precursor family". Lineage: Eukaryota; Viridiplantae; Streptophyta; Magnoliopsida; Poales; Poaceae. The record is from RNAcentral.
UUAUUCAUGCUAGAAUUGUAUUAACCGGAAACAUGAUACAUGUGUGAAUACAUAGACAAACAGAGUGUCACUGGUAUGCCUCUACUUGACUAGCUCGUUUAUCAAAGAUGGUUAUGUUUCCUAGCCGUAGACAUGAGUUGUCAUUUGAUUAACGGGAUCACAUCAUAAGGAGAAUGAUGUGAUUGACUUGACUCAUUUCGUUAGCUUAGCACUUGAUCGUUUAGUAUGUUGCUAUUGCUUUCUUCAUGACUUAUACAUGUUCCUAUGACUAUGAGAUUAUGCAACUCCCGUUUACUAGAGGAACACUUUGUGUGCUACCAAACAUCACAACAUAACUGGGUGAUUAUAAAGGUGCUCUAUAGGUUUCUCUGAAGGUACUUGUUGAGUUGGCAUAUUUCGAGAUUAGGAUUUGUCACUCCGAUUGUCGGAGAGGUAUCUCUGGGCCCACUCUGUAAUGCACAUCACUAUAAGCCUUGCAAGCAUUGUAACUAAUGAGUUAGUUGCGGGAUGAUGUAUUACAGAAUGAGUAAAGAGACUUGCCGGUAAUGAGAUUGAACUAGGUAUUGAGACGAUCGAAUCUCGAGCAAUAACAUACCGAUGACAAAGGGAACAACGUAUGUUGUUAUGCGGUUUGACUGAUAAAGAUCUUCGUAGAAUAUGUGGGAGCCAAUAUGAGCAUCCAGGUUCUGCUAUUGGUUAUUGACCGAAGACGUGUCUCGGUCAUGUCUACAUAAUUCUCGAACCCAUAGGGUCCGCACGCUUAAAGUUCGGUGACGAUCGGUAUUAUGAGUUUUGUGUUUUGAUGUACCGAAGGUAGUUUGGAGUCCUGGAUGUGAUCACGGACAUAACGAGGAGUCUGGAAAUGGUUGAGACGUAAAGAUCGAUAUAUUGGACGACUAUGUUCGGACACCGAAAAGGUUCUGAAAGGUUUCGGACAUAUAUCGGAGUACCAGGGGUUACCNNNNNNNNNNNNNNNNNNNNNNNNNNNNNNNNNNNNNNNNNNNNNNNNNNNNNNNNNNNNNNNNNNNNNNNNNNNNNNNNNNNNNNNNNNNNNNNNNNNNNNNNNNNNNNNNNNNNNNNNNNNNNNNNNNNNNNNNNNNNNNNNNNNNNNNNNNNNNNNNNNNNNNNNNNNNNNNNNNNNNNNNNNNNNNNNNNNNNNNNNNNNNNNNNNNNNNNNNNNNNNNNNNNNNNNNNNNNNNNNNNNNNNNNNNNNNNNNNNNNNNNNNNNNNNCCAAACCAAAUUGGUUUAGGGCAAGGGGGGCCGGCCCCCUCUUUCCUUCUCCUCCUCUCCCUUUCCUUCCCCCUCUCCUACUCCUACUAGGAAUAGGAGUCCUACUCCUAGUGGGAGUAGGACUCCCCCUUGGCGCGCCUCUCCCUAGCCAGCCGCCUCCUCGCCCUUGCUCCUUUAUAUACGGGGGCAUGGGCACCCCAUAGACACAACAAUUGAUCAUUGAUCUCUUAGCCGUGUGCGGUGCCCCCUCCACCAUAAUCCACCUCGAUCAUAUCGUAGCGGUGCUUAGGCGAAGCCCUGCGUCGGUAGCAUCAUCAUCACCGUCACCAUGUCGUCGUGCUGACAAAACUCUCCUGUGAAGCUUUGCUGGAUCGGAGCUCGCGGGACGUCAUCGAGUUGAACGUGUGCAGAAGUCAGAGGUGUCGUGAGUUCGGUACUAGGAUCGGUCGGAUCGUGAAGACGUACGACUACAUCAACCAUGUUGUGCUAACGCUUCCGCUUUCGGUCUACGAGGGUACGUGGACACACUCUCCCCUCUCGUUGCUAUGCAUCACCAUGAUCCUAUGUGUGCGUAGGAUUUUUUUGAAAUUACUACGCUCCCCAAUAGUUUGGACACCGGAAAGGUUUCGGAUGAGUUCGGGCAUUUUUGGGAGUACCGGGGGCUUACCGGAACCCCCCAGGGAGUUAAUGGGCCAUGGUGGAAGAGAGGACGAGGCGGCCAAGUGGUGGGGCGCGCCCCCAACCCCAAUCUGAAUUGGGGAGGGGGCCGGCCCCCCUUUCCUUCUCUCCCUCUUCCCGUUCCUCCCCCCUCCUAGUUGGACUAGGAAAGGGGGGGGAACCUACUCCUAGUAGGAGUAGGAAUCCCCCCUUGGGGCGCGCCAUAGGAGGCCAGCCCUCCCCUCCUCCACUCCUUUAUAUACGGGGGAGGGGGCACCCCAUAGACACACAAGUUGAUCUCUUAGCCAUGUGCGGUGCCCCCAUCCAUAGAUUUCCACCUCGGUCAUAUUGUCGUAGUGCUUAGGCGAAGCCCUGCGUCGGCAACUUCAUCAUCACCAUCACCACGCCGUCGUGCUGAUGAAUCUAUCCCUCGGCCUCAGCUGGAUCUAGAGUUUGAGGGACGUCACCGAGCUGAACGUGUGCAGAUCACGGAGGUGUCAUGUAUUCGGUACUUGAUCGGUUGGAUCGCGAAGAUGUUCGACUACAUCAACCGCGUUACUUAACGCUUUCGCUUUCGGUCUAUGAGGGUACGUGGACACACUCUCCCCGCUCGUUUCUAUGCUUCUCCUAGAUAGAUCAUGCGUGGUCGUAGGAUUUUUUUUUGAAAUACUACGUUCCCCAACAACUAACUCAUUAGUCACAUUUUUGCAAGGCUUAUAGUGAUGUGCAUUACCGAGAGGGCCCAGAGAUACCUCUCCGAUACUCAGAGUGACAAAUCCUAAUCUUGAUCUAUGCCAACUCAACAAACACCUUUGGAGACACCUGUAGAGCAUCUUUAUAAUCACCCAGUUACGUUGUGACGUUUGAUAGCACACAAGGUGUUCCUCCGGUAUUCGGGAGUUGCAUAAUCUCAUAGUCAGAGGAAUAUGUAUAAGUCAUGAAGAAGGCAAUAGCAAUAAAACUAAACGAUCAUUAUGCUAAGCUAAUGGAUGGGUCUUGUCCAUCGGGUCAUUCUCUAAUGAUGUGAUCCCGUGCAUCAAAUGACAACACAUGUCUAUGGUCAGGAAACUUAACCAUCUUCGAUUAACGAGCUAGUCAAGUAGAGGAAUACUAGGGACACUCUGUUUGUCUAUGUAUUCACACAUGUACUAAGUUUGUGGUCAAUACAAUUCUAGAAUGAAUAAUAAACAUUUAUCAUGAUAUAAGGAAAUAUAAAUAACAACUUUAUUAUCAUGAUAUAAGGAAAUAUAAAUAACAACUUUAUUAUUGCCUCUAGGGCAUAUAAGUGGGUUUAUGGCAUAUGGGAGUAAAGAGGACUUGAUACUUAAUGCUAUGGUUGGGUUUCACGACCUUAAUGAUCUGUAGUAGUUGUGGAUGCUUGCUAGGGGUCCAAUCAAAAGUGCAUAUGAUCCAAGUAGAGAAAGUAUGUUAGCUCAUGCCUCUCCCUCAUGUAAAAUUACAAGAAUGAUUACCGUUACUUGUUAUCGAUUGCCUAGGGACAAAUGAUUUCCUUGUUGACAAAUGCUAUCUGAUAAGCCACAAGUAUAGGGGAUAAAUUGUAGCCUCUUUUCAUAAGUAAGAGUGUCGAACCCAACAAGGAGCUAAAGGUAGAACAAAUAUUCCCUCAAGUUCUAUCGACCACUGAUACAACUCUACGCACGCUUAACGUUCGCUUUACCUAGAACAAGUAUGAAACUAGAAGUACUUUGUAGGUGUAACGGGAUAGGUUUGCAAGAAUAUAAAGAGCACGUGAAUAAAAACUAGGGGAUGUUUUAGGUAAAGAAGCAAUAAAGUUAGUAAAGCGAGUGUGGAAAAGUGGUGGUAGGAGUUGCGAAAUUGUCCCUAAGCAAUUGGCUACUUUACUAGAUCGAUAGCAAGUUUUAUGUGGGAGAGGCCACUGCUAGCAUGUCAUCCCUGACUUGGAAUUCUAUGCACCUAUGAUUGGAACUAUUAGCAAUCAUCCGCAACUACCAACGUUCAUUAAGGUAAAACCCAACCAUAGCAUUAAGAUAUAUCGGUCCCCCUUCAAUAACGUAUGCAUCAAUUUCUAUGCUAGGUUGAAGCUUAUGUCACUCUUGCCCUCCAAUAUAUAGUCCUAUCAACAUACAACUAAACCUAUGGUGUGAUCCACGCGCGCGCUCAUAUGAUGGGCACCAAAGGAUAGCAACAUAACCACAAGCAAAUUAUAGCAAUCAUAGCAAUUCACCAAUUACCGAUAGGACAACGAAAGUCUACUCAGACAUCAUAGGAUGGCAACACAUCAUUGGAUAAUAAUAUGAAGCAUAAAGCACCAUGUUAAAGUAGAGGGUACAUCGGGUUGCGAGAGAGUGUACCGCUGUAGAUAGAUGGGGGAAGAUGAUAAAGAUGUUGGUGAAGAUGACAGAGGUGUUGGUGUAGAUUGCGGUGACACGAUGAUGGCCCCGGCGGCGUUCCGACGCCACCGGAAGAUAGGGGAGAGCCCCCCUUCUUCUUCUUCCUUGACCUUAUCCCUAGUUGGGAGAAGGGUUUCCCCUCUGGUCCAUGGCCUCCAUGGCGGCGGAGGGCCGAGAGCCCCUCCGAGAUUGGAUCUAUCUCUCUGUUUCCGCGUUUCAGAUUCUGGCCUUUCACCGUUUCUUAUAUUCCCGGAGAUUUGUAACUCUGAUUGGGCUGAAAUUUCAACCCGAUUUGUAUCCAGAUAUUGGCUUUCUUGCGCCGAAAGAAGGGCACCAACCACCUUAGGGUCAGGGGCGUGCCACCCUGCCUUGUGGCCCCCUCGGGCAUCGUCUCAUGUUGAUUCUUCUUCCCAAAAAUCACAUAUAUUCCAAAAAAAUCUCCGUAAGUUUUUAUCCUGUUUGGACUCCGUUUGAUAUGGAUUUUCUACGAAACAAAAAACAUGCAACAAACAGGAACUGGCACUAGGCACUGGAUCAGUAUGUUAGUCCCAAAAAUAGUAUAAAAAGUUGCCAAAAGUAUAUGAAAGUUGUAUAAUAUUGGCAUGGAACAAUGAAAAAUUAUAGAUACGACAGAGACGUAUCAGCAUCCCCAAGCUUAAUUCCUGCUCGUCCUUGAGUAGGUAAAUGAUAAAAAAGAUAAUUUUUGAUGUGGAAUGCUACCUAGCAUAAUCUUGAUCAUGUAAUCUAAUCAUGGCAUGAAUAUUAAGACACGAGUGAUUCAAAGCAAUAGUCUAUCAUUUGACAUUAAGACAAUAAUACUUCAAGCAUACUAAUAAAGCAAUCAUAUCUUUUCAAAAUAACAUGGCCAAAGAAAGUUAUCCCUACAAAAUCAUAUGGUCUGGGUAUGUUCCAUCUUCACCACACAAGGUAUUCAAAUCAUGCACAACCCCGAUGACAAGCCAAGCAAUUGUUUCAUACUUUUGAUGUUCUCAAACCUUUUCAACUUUCACGUAAUACAUGAGCGUGAGCCAUGGAUAUAGCACUAUAGGUGAAAUAGAAUAUGAUGGUGGAGGUUGUGUAGAGAAGACAAAAAGGGAGAAAGUCUCACAUCAACGCGGCUAAUCAACGGGCUAUGGAAAUGCCCAUCAAUUGAUGUCAAUGUGAGGAGUAGGGAUUGCCAUGCAACGGAUGCACUAAGAGCUAUAAGUGUAUGAAAGCUCAAAUUGGAAACUAAGUGGGUGUGCAUCCAACUUGCUUGCUCAUUAAGACCUCGGGCAUUUGAGGAAGCCCAUCAUCGGAAUAUACAAGCCAAGUUCUAUAAUGAAAAUUCCCACUAGUAUAUGAAAGUGAUAACUCAAGAGACUCUCUAUAUGAAGAACAUGGUGCUACUCUGAAGCACAAGUGUGGUAAAAGGGUAGUAACAUUGUCCCUUCUCUCUUUUAUCUCAUUUUUUUGUUUUUUUGGUGGGCUUCUUUGGCCUCUUUUAUUUUUUUGUGGGCUUCUUUGGCCUCUUUUAUUUUUUUGUAAAGUCCAGAGACUCAUCCCAACUUGUGACGGAAUCAGAGCUUCCAUCAUCCUUUCCUCACAUGGGAGAAUUCUCUAAUAAUGAUGAUCAUCACACUUUUAUUUACUUACAACUCAAUAUUACAACUCGAUACUAGAACAAAAUAUGACUCUAUAUGAAUGCCUCCGGCGGUGUACCGGGAUGUGCAAUGAUCUAGCGUAGCAAUGAAAUAAAAAAAUGGACAAGACAUGAAAACAUCAUGCUAGCUAUCUUACGAUCAUGCAAAGCAAUAUGACAAUGAAUGCUCAAGUCAUGUAUAUGAUGAUGAUGGAAGUUGCAUGGCAAUAUAUCUCAGAAUGGCUAUGGAAAUGCCAUGAUAGGUAGGUAUGGUGGCUGUUUUGAGGAAGAUAUAAGGAGGCUUAUGUGUGAUAGAGCGUAUCAUAUCACGGGGUUUGGAUGCACCGGCGAAGUUUGCACCAAAUCUCGAGGUGAGAAAGGGCAAUGCACGGUACCGAAGAGGCUAGCAAUGAUGGAAGGGUGAGAGUGCGUAUAAUCCAUGGACUCAACAUUAGUCAUAAAGAACUCGUAUACUUAUUGCAGAAGACUAUCAGCUAUCGAAACAAAGUACUAGGUGCAUGCUCCUAGGGGGAUAGAUUGGUAGGAAAAGACCAUCGCUCGUCCCUGACCACCACUCAUAAGGAAGACAAUCAAUAAAUACCUCAUGCUCCAACUUCGUUACAUAACGGUUCACCAUACGUGCAUGCUACGGGAAUCACAAACUUCAACACAAGUAUUUCUACAAUCCACAACUACCCACUAGCAUGACUCUAAUAUCACCAUCUUUAUAUCACGGAACUAUUGCAAGGAAUCAAACAUAUCAUAUUCAGUGAUCUACAAGUUUUAUGUAGGAUUUUAUGACUAACCAUGUGAAUGACCAAUUCCUGUCAACUCUCUAAAUAGAUAUAAGUGAAGCAUGAGAGUUUAAUACUUUAUACAAAAUAUAUGCCCACACUAUAAAAAUAUAAGUGAAGCAAAAGAGCAUUCUACAAAUGGCGGUUUUCUAUGUGUAGGGAAACAUGCAAUCCAAACUUCAAAUGAUAUAAGCGAAGCACAUGAAGGAUUAUAUAAAACAAUACUCAAAAGAUAUAAGUGAAGUGCAAAGAGGAUUCUAUAAAUAAACCAUGGAAUAUCUCAUACCAUCAUGGUGCAUCAAAGAAAAGUGAAAACUAAAUGCAAAAUACGCUCCAAGAUUUGCACAUAUCACAUGAACGAAACGAAACCGAAAACAUAUCGAUUCUUGUUGAAGAAAGAUGGGAUGCCUUCCGGGGCAUCCCCAAGCUUAAACGCUUGAGUCUCCUUGAAUAUUUACUUGGGGUGCCUUGGGCGUCCCCAAGCUUGAGCUCUUGCCUCUCCUCCUUCUCCUCAUAUCGAGACCUCCUCGAUCUUUGAUCACUUCAUCCACACAAAACUCAACAGAAAGCUCGGUAAGAUCCGUUAGUAUAAUAAAGAAAAUCACUAAUCUAAGUACUGUUGGAAACCAAUUCAUAUUUAUUUUUUGCAUUGUAGCUACUGUAAUAUAACUUUUCCAUGGCUUAAUCCACUGAUAGAAAUCGAUAGUUUCAUCAAAACAAGCAAACUAUGCAUCAAAAACAGAAUCUGUCUUAAACAGGACAGUCUGUAGUAAUCUGAACAUUCACCAUACUUCUGUUACUCCAAAAAUUCUGAAACAAAUAGGAAAAAUAAAAACUUUGUAUAUAAAUACAGUGCAAAAGGUUUCAGAACCGUUUGACAUUCCAGUAAAAAAUGUAAAAUCGCGCACUACAGCCAAAGUUUCUGUUUUGCACCGCACGAACCAACAAGCAAUCUAAACAUCCUAAAGGCAAAUCUUGGCACAUUAUUUUUAUGAUACAAUGGAUUUGUACAAGGGGAUAAUUAUUUUUGUUGAAAAUUUUGUGUAAUCUAGGGUCACAAAGUUUCCAUUGGCAUGAAGUUCAAGGCUAGCUCCCACUUUAACAAUGCUCGUCUUUCUCACUUUUGCUUUUCUUUUUGAAAAAGUUUUAGGUUCCCCUCUUUAUUUAUUUUGUUUUUAAACUUCAUAAAGCACACAACAGAAAUAAAUGGCUCUCUAAAACUUCCGGGUUGUCUCCUUGGCAGCGCUUUCUUUAAAGCCAUUAAGCUGGGCAUAUAGUGCUCAAGUAAUGGAUCCACCCAGAUCCCAAGGUAUAUCAAAGCCAAUUUUAAUUAACAAUGAUUUGUGAUUUAGUAGUGAGCACAAAUUAACAUAUAUCAUGUAAUGACGAAGUCUAACUCUCUUCCUAUGCAUCGGAAUGUCAUAAAAGAACAAUUCAUGCACACAUAGUAAACUCCAAUGCAUAGUAUAAAUAGUUUCUUGCAAUUUUAUCGUGUGGGAAACAUAGAGAGGUGAAGAUAUAGUUCCUCUCUCAUAAUAAUUGCAAGUAGGAGCAGCAAGCACAUGCAUAUUAUAUCUAUCAAAAUCAUCAUGUGUGGUAGUAAAACGCAACCCAUCAAUAUAAUCCUUAAUAAGGGCAAACUUCUCCGAUAUAGUGUAGUCGGGAGAAUUCAAAAAGAUGAUAGGACUAUCAUGCGUGGGUGCAAUAGCAACAAUUUGAUGUUUAACAUAAGGAACUAUAGCAAGUUCAUCUUCAUAAGAAUAAUUCAUAUUGGCAUCUUGGCCACAAGCAUAGCAAGUAUCAUCAAAAAGGGAUAUUUCGAAAGAAUCAACGAGAUCAUAACAAUCAUCAUAGCAUUCAUCCUUCGGUAAAUUCGAAGGGAAAUUAAACAAUGUAUGGGACAAAGAGUUACUCUCAGAUGGUGGGAACGGGUGAUCAAUCCGCUCUUCCUCCUUUUGUUCUUUGCUCUCCUCCUCAUCUUUUUUUCAUCAAAUGAGCUCACAAUGUCAUUAAUUUCUUCUUCCAUACACUCCUGCAAAAUAUUAGUCCCUUCUUGGACAGCGGAGGAGUCCUCAAUAUAUGGUUUAAUAUAAGGAUUAGAAGCAUAAUUAUCAUAGCAAUAUUUAAGUCUGGCCAAAUUUUCAGAUUUGUAGAGAGUAGUAUCACACUCUUCAAUAAAAGAAGCAAUUUCACAAGUACCCCUAAAAGCAACAAAUUCUUCAAUUUGUUGAACAUCAUAGUAAUUAUAAACACCCUUAGUAUACGAAGAUAUGAUUCCAUUAUCACUAAACCCACAUUGGUAAGGAAGGUGUUUCUUAGGGUCUUUAGAACAACGAGUACAAUCAUAUAUUUCACAUAAAUUCCAAGCAUAGCACUGCAGACGAUGAAUUUGAUCCAGUAAAAUUUCCCUUUUUCAGAUAUGCGGUGUCGCACAUAACAAGCAUGCUCAUCUAAAGAUUUGCCCUCAACUAAGCUAGUUGGGGUUUGAGCCCAAGCACAUAGGGAUCGAAGAUGAUCCAAGUAAAAAGCAUCAGUAGUGUGAUAGAUUUUGAGUGGUUCUUCAACCAUUGGUUCAGUAGGUACCACUAAUUUUUUUGGUAUUUUGCGUUUCCUACCCAUAACUAAAGAUAGAAAACAAGAGCACAAAAUAAAAACUACUUAGUGACAAACCAAACAAGCACGCACGAGAAUAUUCACCCCACGCUAUAACUCCCUGGCAACGGCGCCAGAAAAAGGUCUUGAUAACCCACAAGUAUAGGGGAUCAAUUGUAGCCUCUUUGGAUAAGUAAGAGUGUCGAACCCAACGAGGAGCUAAAGGUAGAACAAAUAUUCCCUCAAGUUCUAUCGACCACCGAUACAACUCUACGCACGCUUAACGUUCGCUUUACCUAGAACAAGUAUGAAACUAGAAGUACUUUGUAGGUGUAACGGGAUAGGUUUGCAAGAAUAUAAAGAGCAUGUAAAUAAAAACUAGGGGCUGUUUUAGGUAAAGAAGAAACAAAGUUAGUACCGAUAGGACAAUGAAAAUCUACUCAGACAUCAUAGGAUGGCAACACAUCAUUGGAUAAUAAUAUGAAGCAUAAAGCACCAUGUUCAAGUAGAGGGUACAGAGGGUUGCGGGAGAGUGCACCGCUGUAGACAGAUGGGGGAAGGUGAUGAAGAUGUUGGUGAAGAUGACGGAGGUGUUGGUGUAGAUUGCGGUGACACGAUGAUGGCCCCGGUGGUGUUCCGGCGCCACCAGAAGAGAGGGGGAGAGCCCCCUUCUUCUUCUUCUUCCUUGACCUUCUCCCUAGAUGGGAGAAGGGUUUCCCCUCUGGUCCAUGGCCUCCAUGGCGGCGGAGGGGCAAGAGCCCCUCCGAGAUUGGAUCUGUCUCUCUGUCUCUCUCUAUUUCUGCGUUUUAGAUUCUGGCCUUUCACCAUUUCUUAUAUUCCCGGAGAUCCGUAACUCUGAUUCGGCUGAAAUUUUAACACGAUUUCUAUCCGGAUAUUGGCUUUCUUGCGGCGAAAGAAGGGAACCAACCGCCCUACGGGGCCGCCACGAGGGUCAUGGGCGCGCCCACCCCCCUGGGGCGCGCCCCUGGCUCGUGGCCCCCUCGAGCAUCGUCUCGUGUUGAUCCUUCUUCCCAAAAAUCACAUAUAUUCCAAAAAUAAUCUGUGUAAGUUUUUAUCCCGUUUGGACUCUGUUUCAUAUGGAUUUUCUGCGAAACAAAAAACAUGCAACAAACAGGAACUGGCACUGGGCACUGGAUCAAUAUGUUAGUCCCAAAAAUAGUAUAAAAAGUUGCCAAAAGUAUAUGAAAGUUGUAUAAUGUUGGCAUGGAACAAUCAAAAAUUAUAGAUACGACGGAGACAUGUCACUAUCUACUUUUAUUACCUUGCAAUUUAUUCAUAGUUUUAUUCACACAAAGUACUCAUAGUUUUAUUCUUGCAAAAUAGUUCCGUACUUGUUUUAGGUAAAGCAAACGUGAAGUGUGUGUAGAGUUGUAUCGGUGGUCGAUAGAACUUGAGGGAAUAUGUGUUCUACCUUUAGCUCCUUGUUGGGUUCGAUGCUCUUAUUUAUCGAAGAAGGCUACAAACGACCCCCUAUACUUGUGGGUUAUCAGCGUGUCCCAAAACAUGGUUCCCCAUACUUCUCCCUACAUUUUCCCAUUCAUACACUGUCCGUGCUAGAACACCAUCCCCACACCAACUUCCUUUGUCCACCACCCCAUCCAUUGCCACUGUCCUCAACCCCAUCCAUCACCGCCGUCCUCCACCAUGCCCGAGCGCCUACCAAGCCCGCGUCUUCCACUGCUACAGAUGGACGUUUCUCAUCCACGGCGAUGAACCAGGAGCCUUGCAUUGCGUCCUCUCGCUUCAUCGGCACCAUCGUCCUCCUUGUCGAGGCCGCUCCCACGACCUUAUUGUCCACCGCAACGGGACUUAUCCCCUGAUGCACCCGUCUACCAUCGCAGAUCUGCUUCAAUGCCACCGACAACCACCGCACCCCCGAUGCCUACACGGCGCCGCAAGAGAGGUGACACUACUUCAUAUCUGCUCAACUUUUUGAUCUCAACCAGAAAAUAGAUCGUAACUUGGUUACUAUACUUUCUUUUUAGCUCUUAGAAUUUAGUUCUUAGUUCGAAGCAAACAAUGGUUGCUAGAUGGCAUUUCUAUGGUUUGCAGCUUCAAAUCUGCCAUGGCACAGUCAUAAUAGGAUUUAAUUGAUCAUGCUUAGGGUUUCCCCUCUUUUAUGAUCACUAUACGAUCAACAUACGUGCUUCGUGUCAUAAUAGCACUGCUCCACCCAUCAAGCUAAACAAGCUUAGUUGUUCAAAUACGAAUAUGAUAUUACUAAAAUAGAGUCGUUUAAUUGGUCAGCUAAAUGUUCCUAAUUUAGUUUCGAAAAUGCAUGUACACCACUAGGGUGUGGAUCUACAGGGUGCCACGAUGGGCCGCAUCCUACCCUGGGAUUUUGGGUCGGCCCAGACCCCGAUUUCCCUCUGUUCUAUUGCGCUUCCGAUCUCUACUCGCCCCCAGCCGCCUGCCUCGUCGGUGACUUGCCGUCCCCGGGUGGUAUGACUCUAGGAGGAGAAGCCAGACUAACAGAAGGUCAGGAGUCGCUCGCCCAACAGCGUCACCGCUGCUCAGGCACGCCGCCGUGCCUACCUUCCCAGUCCGUUCAGGGCUCAGGCAUGCAUCAGCCACUAAGCCCACCCGAUUUAUCCUGAGAUACGCCCUCGACACCCAGCAGCCACUCCUCAUCACCCAUUUUCUAAUUGAUUCGUUACUCAUUAGGCAGGACUGUCAUUAGGGUUUGUUGUCUACUGAGUGCUACCUACACUUAAUGGUUCAGAUAUUCCAGUAAUCUUUAGUACCUGUAAAGUUCAUAGGGUUUCAAACUUCCGGCCCUAGGAACAGACACUAGUCGUGUUGGAUUGUUGGUCAUAGUCACAUUGACCCAGAUUACUACUGUAGGCCAGGUUUGUUUACACUUUUACUUGUCUUUCUUACUCAUUCGAUAUGAUAUCCAAUUAUUCACGUCGAUUAGUUGCAAACAAUAAGUGUUGGACCAACUGCUUGAUUCAGAUUUUGGAUUUACUCUUACCAUAGUUACAGUUCUGCAUACUUGUCCUAGUAAGCUCACAAGUAAUGACUGAUUCACUACCUCUAUCCUUGCCUAGUACUUCUUGAGCUUGCGUUGGUUUUUUACUUGAAGAGGAAAGGGUGAUGCAGCAAAGUAGAGAUAAGUAUUUCCCUCAGUUUAAGAACCAAGGUAUCAAUCCAGUAGGAGGUACGCGCAAGUCUCCAAUAUAUGCACCUGCACAAACAAUCAAACACUUGCACCCAACGCGAUAAAGGGGUUGUCAAUCCCUUCACGGUCACUUGCAAGGAUGAGAUCUGAUAGAGAUGGAUAUAAAAGAUUACUAAAACAUAAAACAAAUGAAAAGUUGCAGCAAGGUAUUUUUGGGUUUUUUGGUUCAUAGAUCUGAAAAUAUAGGAUGGAAAAUAGACCCGGGGGCCAUAGGUUUCACUAGAGGCUUCUCUCUUGAAAGAAAACAUAUGGUGGGUGAACAAAUUACUAUUGAGCAAUUGAUAGAAAAGCGCAAAGUUAUGACGAUAUCCAAGGCAAUGAUUAUGAAUAUAGGCAUCACGUCCGUGUCAAGUAGACCGACGCCUGCCUGCAUCUACUACUAUUACUCCACACAUCGACCGCUAUCCAGCAUGCAUCUAGAGUAUUAAGUUCAUAAGAACGAAGUAACUCCUUAAGUAAGAUGACAUGAUGUAGAUGGAUAAACUCAAGCAUUAUGAUGAAAACACCAUCUUUUUAUCCUUGAUGGCAACAAUACAAUACGUGCCUCGCUACCCCUACUUUGUCACUAGGUGAGGACACCGCAAGAUUGAACCAAAACUAAGCACCUCUCCCAUUGCAAGAAGAACCAAUCUAGUUGGCGAAACCAAAAUGACAAUUCAAAGAGAAAUAUAAAGAUAUCAAAUCAUGCAUAUAAGAAUUCAGAGAAGACUCAAAUAAUAUGCAUAGAUAAUCUGAUCAUAAAUCCACAAUUCACCGGAUCUCGACAAACACACCACAAAAGAAUAUUACAUCAGAUAGAUCUCCCAGAACAUCGAGGAGAACAUUGUAUUGAAGAUCAAAGAGAGAGAAGAAGCCAUGUAGCUACUAGUUAUGGACCCGCGGGUCUGUGGUAAACUACUCACACUUCAUCGAAAGGGCAAUAGAGUUGAUGUAGAAGCCCUCCGUGAUAGAAUCCCCCUCCGGCAGGGUGUCGGAAAAGGCCCCAAGAUGGUAUCUCAUGGGAACAAAAGGUUACGGCGGCGGAAAAGUAUUUUGGUGGACGCUUCUGGUCGUUUGGGAAUAUUUGGGAAUUUAUAGUGCUGGAAUUAGGGCUAGGGGACCUCCGAGGGGUCCACAAGCCCUUAGAUCGCCCCCCUAGGGCACGCCCCUGAGGCUUGUGGCCUCCAAGUUACGUGGGUGUCUUUUGGUCCAAGAAAAAUCAUCGCGAAAGUUCUAUUCCGUUUGGACUCCGUUUGAUAUUCUUUUUCUGUAAAACUCAAAAACAAGGAAGAAAAAGGAAACUGACACUGGGCUCUGGGUUAAUAAGUUAGUCCCCAAAAUAAUAUAAAAUAGCAUAUUAAUGCAUUUAAAACAUCCAAAACAGAUAAUAUAAUAGCAUGGAACAAUAAAAAAUCAUAGAUACGUUGGAGACGUAUCAUUGCCUUGUCAAUAUUGUUUUAGGGUGGACCACCCUGUUUCAAAAUACUGGAACCGCGGACAUGAGUGAAAUAGUAUUUCUCUGUGUGAUCUCUUCCAUCAUGUGUCACUACUGUAAGAUGCUGCUAACGCGACACUACGAUCAGAGACCCUUCGAGAAACUGUGUGCGAUGCAGUAAUCGCAAACGGUGGUGUAUGAAAACCAUCAAAAAAGGUGCAAAAUGUUUGCGAUGGAGGAUGCAUCAAACACGGUUCAGAUUUUAGUUGCGUGUGCGAUUCAGGCCACACGGUUAACCUGUUCGAACUGUUUGCGAUGAGACAGAACAACAGAAACGGGCAGCCAUAUCAAUGUGUGUGGCAUAUAUGGCAUACAGUUCGCUCCGAUGAGCCGUUUGCUAUUAGGGAGUGCAACAUAAACGGUUAGCCACAUUAAGGUGUGUGUGAUAUAGGGCAUACGGUUCACUCGGACAAACUAUUUUUUAUUAGCGAACACAAUAGAAACGGUUCAACUUAACAAGAUGUGUGUGAUACGUGGCAAACAGCCGACAUGGAUGAACUGUUUGCGAUGAAAAUUUACAACAUAGACGGUUAAUACAGUUAGUUCGUGUGUGAUUCUGUGUGUACAAAAAACUUUGAAAAAUGCAAAAUAGUUGCUUGCGGUGGCUAGGAGUAUCGCAGACGAUGCGUCUACGAGUACUCAUGUGCGAUGAUUAGUAAGUUACACUUGCAUUUCCUUAUGUUAACACUUGUGUGAUAAAUAACACGUGGCACCGGCUACGGUAUUCGGGUUGUGUGUCUGCUCCACUUAGUCUUCCCGUGCUCCAGCUAAUGCUUCUUGCGCUCCACAUGGGUGAAUUGUAAAAUCCACGCCUAUUCCCUCACCGGUUUCCCGCCACCAGCUAACGGCUUGCUGCAUAUAACCCAGGCGGCAACGCACCGCCGCGACACUCUGCGAAGAUCUAGUCCUCACCCAUCUACCAUUAGUUAUUCCAAGCAUGCCAGGCAACGACCAAAGCUUCGACGUCAACACCUACCUGCAUUACAUCUUUGGUGAGGAGAACGAGCCGAAGCAGGUCGGGGAGCAAGAGCUUCAUCGGCCGGUGCAGGCACCAUGGCCCAUCGGCAAUGAUAUCGGCAUCACAGUCCUUGGGAGCACAAUCGACAUAUUAUAGAGGAGGUGUGAUGAGCAGUUUGCCAUCCACCUUGCAAAAGAUCCAGAGCUGCUCGGCGGCAUGAUCGGUGACCCACCCGAAUAACCGCCAUCACUAGUGCUCAUCGAGAGCCUGAUGCCCCGCAAGGAAUGGGCACAGGACCUCUGCAAUUCAGUCAAGACAAAGGCAGUCCACGUCUUCAUCAUUGCCCGUGACGGCCGUGUCAACCUCGAUCCCGAUGAUGUGGUGGCCAGGCUCGAGCGCAUCCUUGGCGGAGGUGACAUCCCCUAUGAAGUAGAACAUCGCCAACGUGAUAUCUUGAGGAUGCAGGUGAUCGACGGAAUUUGCUACCAGGCCAGAGACAUGGAAAUGGAGCGGUUCCGCAGAGUUGUCAUGCGCGUGAUUGCACGCUAUCAAGCUCCUCUGGAAGAGGCCCAACAGCCCCAAGAGCCUCCCAUCAGCGCCACCAGCUCCGUAUGCGGAGGCGGGUCGGGACACUCGGAGUGAAUGGCCUCAAGGGUGCUAUGCUGAUCAUGGAGUCCGAGAAGACCAUCCUCGAAAGGCCGCCAGCUCAGCCUUUUAGCUUAUAUUUUGUUAUAAUUGUAUGCAUAUGUAAGUCGUGAGUGUUCUGGGCCUUGCCCCAUUUGGCAUUUUAAAUUAUCCUGAAUAUGUAAGACAAUUAUUAAGAAUUAUUAACAGUUGUCAUUGUAACUUUGCCUCAACGGCGAGCAGAGCGCGCGCAGGGAUGCUAGAGCGGAGCGCGCCGCGGCCGCCUCCAUGGCGAGCAACCACGUGGUCAACCUUCUAAAAUCAAUAAAUUUUGACCUUGUUUCUCAUCACAUUGCUGACUAUAACGCAAUAAGUAAUUGCAAAUCUGUUCACACCUCUCAAACUAAUAUGUGUUCACACUUAGCACCGGGCUAUAAAAACUACCCACUCGGAAAUUACUUCACAGUUCCUCUCCUCAUCACCCACAAAACAGGUUUUCUCUGUCAAGUUGUUCCGCCAUGACCGGUUGGAGGAGUUUAGGAUGGACAUAUAACCAGGCAGCAAAGACCAAGGCCGCACAAGCACUAGAGAGGUCCCGCCGCGAAGCCACAACCACAGCAGAGAUGUCCGGGCGUGCCACGGAGCCCUCGAACGAGCUCUCACGGGCACGCGAGGGCUCUCACAAGCGCAUCUGCGGCGUCGGCCAUCGCGACGAGCCGGCGUUCCAGAAGUCCUUCGCCGGUGACGAUGACAUUUUCGCUGGCGUCACUACGCAGCAAGAGCUGGUCAACGGCUUGAUGAAGCUGCUCAAGCUCAGCGAUGCCUCGGUUGACAAGGCGACCGGCCUCGUCGAGCAACUCAUGGAUGACAAUGCAGAGCUCCUCAAGUUGGUCGCCGAGAAGGAGGAGGAGGCCGCCGGAUGGAAGAUGCUGCAUGAGAAGAGCAGUGCCUCAGAGAUGAUGCUUAAAGCGGUCGUCGAGGAACUGAUGGAUGGCUUGAGGAAGCUCCAGAUCGAGCGCGGGCAGGAGGUGGAGGUGGAGGAAUCCGUGGCUGCUUUCAAGCAAAGUCGUGAGGAAUUGAAGAAGGAGUUGGAGGAUUUCGCCGCCCGGCGAUCCAUCGGCGAGUAGAGACAGUAGCGACCCAGAUAGUUGUCUGCAAUUUCCUUCUUCUCUUGCCCCCCGUGUCUUCCGGGCUUUGCCGCAUGUGGCAUUUUAAAUUAUUAGGAAUAUGUAAGACAAUUAUUAUGUGCGCCAUUGUAAUUUUUCAUCGUAUUAUCCGUUGCCAUUUUAUUUGUAGUCGUAUUAUCUGUUGCCCUAUGUGGCAAUUUAAAUUAGGGCGGAAUACUAGUUGAAAACACGAACAAAGCAAAUGCCACCAUGGGAUCACAAGCAAACACCCUCCGUCCAGGUGCUUUAAUUAACCCAUUAAUGGAGAAGUUAUGUGCGAGGCGGGCAGCAGCUGGUGCAUGGAGGUCAAAGAGCUCGCUUCUCGGUGAGCAUGGGCGGCCUUGCUGCUCGCACGUGUCUCGUCGAUCCUGCGAGGUGGACAGGAUGCACGCGUCCCGUCGAGCCUGUGCGGCGGACUGCUCGCAUGCGUCCCGUCGAAGCUGCAUGACAGACUUCUCGCGCUCGUCCCGUCUAAUCAAACAGUUGCACGCACGCCAUCGAGUAUGGUUAAAUUUCGACACGGUAAAUAUAAUACAACCGUUUGCGAUAUUAACGUGUCAGCUUUUUUUCAAAAAGGACUUCAUUGGCUAUUAAUGUGUGCGCCUCUUCUCAAACUGGACGAUUUUUCUUACCACGGCAUAUAUGUGCCAUGUCAUGAAACCAUGCCAAGUUUCAUGUUUUUUGGGUGACUUCUUUAUUUACUGGGAUUUAAAAACCGAGAUUCUCAUUGUUUCAGGACGACGACAAGUUUGUAGUUCAUUCUCAUUCCUUAAACGAGACCUAAACAUGCACCCAAUGACACAUGUAUGAUUUCCCACCCAUUUUGCUUCAUUGGAGCAUGUGGUUGUAGUUCAAAUUUGAAUUAUGGACUACAUUAAAUGCAUAGAAAACUUAGUAAUUAGUAAUACAUAUACAAUGGCCAAACAAACCCUAAACAGUUUCAAAUUUCAGCCCGACACUCAUGUUAUUCUAUGUUGACUAUAGAAAACAAAGUUCAAGGCGAGAAGAGGCAUCGAUUAUCGUUUCGCCCACAAGAGGGGCAUGUUUCCCUACUGGAACCAUGAUGGUUGCGAUAGGCUCCGGUUUGUAAAAGGCUUGUAAUAUAGCUUCGCCCAAAUUGGACAAUUAUAUAUACCAUGUAGUGACACCAUACCAAGUUUCAUGAUUUCCUGGUGAGUUUUGGAUUUACAGACAUUUAAAAACUGAGAUUCGCAAUGUUUGUGGCCAGGACGGUGAGACGGUUGAAUUCAUUCACAUUCGUUCCAUGGGAUCUAAACAUGCACCCCAAGGAAACAUGUACGUUUUUUCUAGCCAUUUUGGUGCACUGGAGCAUGCAUUUGUAGUUCGGAUUUGAAUGAUGGACAUUAAAUGCCUAGAAAACUCAAUUAGUGAAUAAAAAAGGUCAAAUGAACCCUGAAUAAUUUCAAAGUUCAGCCUGAAUAUCCAGUUGUUUUGUGUCGCGUGUAGAAGAAAAUACGAGGCUAGAAGAGGGAGUGAUUAUCGUUUGGCCCACAAGGGGACACAUUUCCCUAUCGAAACCACGAGGGUUCUUGCGACAGGCUCCGGUUUGUAAGAGGUUUGUAGUAAAGCUUGGCCCAAAUUGGCAAUGUUUUUACCACGACAUAUAUGUGCCAUGACAUGACACCUUGCCACCUUUGAUGACUUUCUGGUGAGUUUAGGAUUUAUGGGGACUUAAAAACCGAGAUUCGAAAUGUUUGAGGAAGAGCCAGGACACCGAUACAGUUGUAAUUCGUUCCCAUUCCUGGCAUGAGACCUAAACAUGCACCCAAGGACACAUGCAUAAUUUUUCUAGCCAUUUUGAUGAACUGGAGCAUGUAUUUGUAGUUCAGAUUUGAAUUAUGGACAUUAAAUGCCUAGGAAACCCAAUUAGUGUAUAAAAUGGCCAAACAAACCCUCAAUAAGUUUAAAUUUCAUCAUGGAUAUCCUAUGGUUCCAUGUUGCCCAUGGAAGAAAAUACAAGGCGAAAAGAGGCAGUGAUUAUGUUUCGCCCACAAGGGGAACACGUUUCCCUAUCAGAACCAUGAGGCUUCUUUGAGAGAAGCUCCAGUUUUUGUAAGAGGUUUGUAAUAAAGCUUGGCCCAAAUUGGACAAUGUUUUUACCACAACAUAUAUGUGCCAUGACGUCACACCAUGCCACCUUUGAUGACUUUCUGGUGAGUUUAGGAUUUAUGGGGACUUAAAAACCGAGUUUCGAAAUGUUUGAGUAUGACCCAUGACACCAGUACGGUUGUAAUUCGUUCCCAUUCCUGGCAUGGGACCUAAACAUUCACCCAAGGGCACAUGUAUAAUUUUUCUAGACAUUUUGGUGAACUGGAGCAUGUAUUUGUAGUUCAGAUUUGAAUUAUGGACAUUAAAUGCCUAGGAAACUCAAUUAGUGUAUAAAAAGGCCAAACGAACCCUGAAUAAGUUUAAAUUUCAGCACGGAUAUCCUGUCAUUCCAUGUUGCACGUAGAAGAAAAUACAAGGUGAAACAAGGCAGUGAUUACAUUUCGCCCACAAGGGGGACAUGUUUCCCUAUCGGAACCACGAGGCUUCUUUGAGAGAAGCUCCGGUUUGUAAGAGGCUCGUAAUAAAACUUGCACCACAAUGGACGAAAAGAAUUCCUCGACAUAUAGGUGCGAUGUCGUGACACCAUGGCAGGUUUCACGAUUUCCAGCUUAGUUUUGGAUUUACGGGGAUUUAAAACCAAGAUUCUUCUCACGAAAUGUUUUCAAAUAGCACACGGUUCACUCAUGAAAGCCGAUAUUCAAUGAAAACUUUGUGGAAACCAUAUUUUAAAGUUUCAUAAAAAUCUGGAAAAAAAUGUGGGAUGUUAAGAAGGUGAUGUUUUAUUGUGGCACAAAAUUUCAAGUUGAAAACAUUACGAGAUGUGAUCUAUGAAAAAGACAAAUUCCGCCCUAAAUAGUGACAUUACUAUUCGGCACUAUUCAACACUGAUUUUGUCUUUUUCAUAGCUCACAUGUCUUAAUGUGUUCCAGCUUGAAAUUUUGUGUGCCAAUAAAACAUAAUCGUCUUAACAUCCCGCAUUUUUUGAAUUUUUUUUAAACUUCAAAACAUCUUUUUCUCGUGAUUUUCAUCGGUUUCCACCGAAUGUUGGUUUCCAUAUGAUAUCCCCCCCCCCCCGCUACGCGCACGAUCUUAGUCCUGUGUUCUGACUGGCCAGAACCCAAACCCCACGGAUCGUACGUGUGCACCAUUGGACGAUCCCAAAUUGAACGGAAACCCUGAGCCCUUUCGACAGCACAUGCAGUACAUGGGUAAGCACUAUGCGCAUGCGUCGUGUAGCUCAUGCUUCCUUCUCUACUAGGUUUUCAUUCAAAACAGGCUACCAUUUCUCACCACUCCUCUCAUCGGUUUCCCGCCUCUUCUCCCACAUAUGCAUGAUGUAGAUGUUCAUUUAAUUCUUAUAGUUCAUCUCAUCCAAAAUCAAUUAGUUUUGUAAAAAAAUUGUUUUAAGAUUCAUGGAAUUGUGCAUUGUAAAGGUAAAACAAAUACUGACAAUUCAUUUAGAAAAAAAGGUUUGGGAAAUUAAGAUAUGGAAGAUUCUAGAGAACAAAGGAGAAGUGCUUGUGUUUAGAGGUUUGUGCAUUAUGCUUAAGUUCAACCAUGGAGUCUUCUAGAUUGUACAUGUGGCAGAAUCAGGUAGAAUGUAGAUGAUAUCCAACGACCAGUAGUGCUCAGAUUUGCCAUCUCUGUACCGUCAGAUUGGCUUCAUCCAAUGAGCAACUUUCAUAGUUAUCCGCACACUAUAUAUGUGUAUAGAUGUAUAGAUAUAUAUAUAUGUGUCCCAUGCUAGACAAAAUAAAGUUUGAGNNNNNNNNNNNNNNNNNNNNNNNNNNNNNNNNNNNNNNNNNNNNNNNNNNNNNNNNNNNNNNNNNNNNNNNNNNNNNNNNNNNNNNNNNNNNNNNNNNNNNNNNNNNNNNNNNNNNNNNNNNNNNNNNNNNNNNNNNNNNNNNNNNNNNNNNNNNNNNNNNNNNNNNNNNNNNNNNNNNNNNNNNNNNNNNNNNNNNNNNNNNNNAUUGAACCAGGCUUGGAGUCGGGUAUGGUGUUCGGUUUGUAAUGUACUUAGUGUGGCCCAUCCAAGUUGUGCAUUUGGGAUUUAAACACAUCAUACACCAUCGUACCCAUACAUAUUUUCGGGCCGCAUGCAGUGUAUACAGGGUCUUCUGAUCGGCCACGUCUCCCUUGUGCGGUUUUUGUGAUGACACGGAUAUAUGUGGGCUCCCUGAGUGUAUAUAUAUCAUCCCUUUGACCGAUAAUGAGGGGUAUGUAUUUUCCAUGAAUGGAUUCCUCCUAGUUCAUGUUAGGUCCGGUCACCAUCAAAUGUCGGUCAACAAAAACUCGAGCUCAUGUGUUGUCAGGAUUCCCUCCCAGAUGCUUCGAUUGCUAGGUUUGACCUACAUCAAACCCUCGUACGUAUCUCGUCCUUAACUACCUUGCCUUCAUGGUUGUUGUCGGAUGUGGGGUUCAGGCAAACCCUUAAGGUUUGAACACUGGGGUGCGCGCCUUUCCCUCCUAUCGAUCUACGCCCUAGCUCACUAAGAUCUCGCGGACAAACUCGACGAACUCGCAACACAUAAAGACACAAGGUUUAUACUGGUUCAGGCCACCGUUGUGGUGUAAUACCCUACUCCAGUGUGGUGGUGGUGGAUUGCCUCUAGGGCUGAUGAUGAAUAGUACAAGGGAAGAACAGCCUCCUAAGGUUGAGGUGUUCUUGAGCUCGGUGAGCUUGUGUGUGUGAGGAUGGUCUGAAUGAUCCGUCCUUUGCUAAGGUGGUGGCUAGUCCUAUUUAUAUUGGCCCUGGUCCCCUUCUAAAGUAUCGAGCGGGAAGGGAGCCAACAAUGGCGGGCCAAUUUGAAGGGGGGCAGCUAGUACAAGCUAUCCUAACAAAAGUGGUCUUCGCCUGCAAAAAGCUCUAUGGUGGCGCCGUCUUGGGCUCCACGAUGACCUCCGUCUUGCCGUCCUCCUGGUCUUGGUCUCAUUGCACCAAUAUAGCAACAUUUGCCUGAUGCCUCGGUACUCUUCGCCUGCGUUGGCCUCCUUUGCACCAAAGAGGAAACAAGGACGCUGUGUGCGCUGGCGCCCGCCUGGCGUCCGCCUGGUGUCAUGCGUCAUGGCUCACGUCGCGAGGGUCUCGUGAGGUUUGCCCUGCCUUGAUAUCUCCGCUCCUCGUGAGCCUGCCCGGCUAGGCCACUCCCGAGGAGGUCUUGCACCGUCCGCCUCGCGAGGCUUGGACCCUCGCGAGGGUCAUGGAUGCUUUGCUGGUGAAGAUGGGUCGUACGGCCUGCUGGCUCAGCCAUGCCUGUAACGCCCCAGAUGUAACUUUCCAUAUUUGUAUCCAACUCUUGCCGUCUCCGGCGCUAAGUUAUAUUUAUUUCUCGGGUUGGGUCUUUGUCUUCGUGUGUGUUGUUUUCGUUUUCAUGCAUCUCAUAUCAGGUCAUCACGUGCAUUGCAUUUGCAUACAUGUUCAUCUCAUGCAUUCGAGCAUUUUCCCCGUUGUCCGUUUUGCAUUCCGGCGUUUCGUUCUCCUCCGGUGGUCAUUUCUAGCUUUCUUUCUUGUGUGGGGUUUAAACAUUUCCGGAUUGGACCGAGUCUUGCCAAGCGGCCUUGGUUUACUACCGGUAGACCGCCUGUCAAGUUUCGGGUCAUUUGGACUUCGUUUGAUACCCCAACGGUUAACCGAGGGACCGAAAAGGCCUCGUGUGUGUUGCAGCCCAACACCCCCCAAAUUUGGCCAAAAACCCACCAAACUCUGCUCCAUGUCCUAGAGCGUUCGAUCACGAUCGUGUGGGCGAAAACCGCACCUCAUUUGGACUCUCCUAGCUCCCUCUAUGCCUAUAUAUACACCCCUCCGUUUUCGGAUCUCUCCCUCUCCCCGAAACCCUAAAAAAAAAACAGAUCAACCCCGCCACCGACGGACGUGUCCGGAUCCGACCGGACAACGUCCGCCCCGCCGCCGCAGCGAGUCCCGCGCCGCCACGUGGCCGAGGCCCACAUCGCCGCCGCCGAGGCCCGGGAGCCCGAGGCCGGCCCCCGCGGCCCGGCUCCGCGCCGCCGCUCUCCGCGCCCGUCCCCGACGCCUGCGCCGCCUCCUUCCCCGACGCCGGUGACCGGCGCCGCCGCGGGCCGCCUCCCCGCCGCCGCUCGCCUCCCCGGUCCGGCAGCGCCCCGCCGCGCCGUCCGCGCCAUCCCCGACGCCGGCCGACCCCGCCGCCGUCCGCGCCGCCCGCCUCCUCACCGGCCCCGCCGCCCUCUCCCUCCCGGCCGGCGAGCCCCUCCUCCGCGCCAAGUCCGACGCCGGCGAGCUCCAGAUCGGGCCGGCGAACCUCGGGAGUCGCGCCACUGCUACAGUGCGGCUGGAUCUAGAUCUAGGUUGACUUCUCUCCCCCUUUUAUUAUGUAUUACAUGGGAUGUUGUAAUGAUUGCCUGACUUGCGACAUUGCUUUCAAUGCGGUUAUGCCUCUAAGUCGUGCCUCGACACGUGGGAGCUAUAGCCGCAUCGAGGGCGUUACAAGUUGGUAAUCAGAGCCAUCCCCGACCUUAGGAGCCCCAUUGCUUGAUCGUUUUUAGCAGCCGAGUUGUGUCUAGAAAAAUGUUUUGAGUCCUUAGGAAUUAUAUAUCGGAGAGCUUAGGAAUUCUUUUACUUCCCAGUCUCCUCAUCGCUCUGGUAAGGCAUCCUGGCGUAGAGUUUUGACUCUUCUCUUCUCAAAUUUCACUAAAUUUUUUUUAGGAUCACGCGAGUAUCUUGGUUUUGUUCCGAUGGUUUUGUGACGAGAACAUUGUUCUUGGUGCCUCCUGUCUUUAGGGGUUGUGGCAGUGUCCCGGGGAGUUGAGCUCCGAGGUGUUGUCGUCACAAUUUCAUCGUUGCAAUUCUGGUAUACUUGAGAUAUGUUCGCCGACAUCGAAAAUCUCUUUUAUGCAGUUCGUUGGUGAGAUAACCUCGACGCCACCCAGUACUGGGGCGGGAGUUCGGGAGUAUUGCCAUAACUUGUAUAACGGAUGCUUUUCGAAGGUUGAGGUAGAUGGUUUCCGAAGUUUUCCUGGUUAUGUGUUGAAGGAUGGAUACAGCUGGAUGUAGGAUUUGCUAGUUUGGGUGAGAUAUUGUGCUUCCCCUGUAUCCCCAACACCUGAUUGCAUAACCGGAAAGGUUCGGGAGUAUCAUAGGUGGGAAUUCUAGUAGCUCUAGUUCUUCUUCCACGGAUAUUGGUUUGAGAUUGGGAUGCCAACAAGUGUACCAACCAGAGGCGUCUUCCUCCUCCUCCUCCUGUCAGAUCGGCAAGUACAGCUGUGGUCAAACACAAUCCCAAGCACGCCAAGGUCAAUAUGCUGAAUGCAGCUCAGGCUGAGGAUUCUUCAGAUGUCAUUAUGGGUAACCUUCCUAUUAAUGAUAUUCCUGCAAAAGUUCUUUUUGACACGGGUGCAUCGCAUUGUUUCAUAUCAAAGCCAUUUUUUACCAAGCAUGAGUUCGUUUCUUCUCAUUUGGGUAAACAUAUGGAUAUCAUUUCUCCUGGCAAACGUUUGAGCGCAAGUCUGGAGGUGCCAGAUGUCGCUAUCUCGAUGGGCGAUUUCAAGUUUCUUGCUUCUCCUAUGGUUCUUGGUAAUUCCGAUAUCGAUCUUAUUCUCGGGAUGGACUGGCUCUCUAAGCAUAAAGCUCAGCUUGAUUGUGCAGCCAGGCAGAUUCAACUGACUCAUUCAUCUGAGGAUGUCAUUGUCUUUGCCGCUCGAGAUAAUUCAAUCCGGUUGUUUUCUCUCAAUGAGAAGGGUGAAUUGGAUGCUAUUUCGCAAAUUCCUGUCGUUUGCGAAUAUCAAGACGUCUUUCCAGAAGAGCUCCCAGGAAUGCCUCCGCACCGGCCGGUUGAAUUUGUUAUUGAACUUGAGCCCGGUACGGAACCUGUGUGCAAACGCCCUUACAAGCUCGGCCCAGAAGAGUUGAAGGAGCUGAAGAAACAACUCGAUGAGCAAGAAAGAUUGGGUCUCAUUCGGCCUAGUACUUCUCCGUGGGGUUGUGGUGUUCUUUUUGUGAAGAAGAAGGAUGGAACGAGUCGACUUUGUGUUGAUUACCGUCCAGUAAACAAGAAGACCAUCAAGAACAAAUACCCACUUCCCAACAUAAAUGAGCUGUUUGAACAACUCAAGGGUGCUCAAGUAUUCUCCAAGCUUGAUCUCCGUAUGGGUUAUCAUCAGAUUCGUAUUCGUGAGCAAGAUAUUCCCAAGACGGCGUUCAGAACAAGCUUUGGUUCAUAUGAAUACACCGUCAUGUCUUUUGGCCUCGCCAACGCUCCUCCGACGUUCUCUCGCAUGAUGAACUUCAUCUUCAACCCCUACACCAAUGAAUUCGUUUUGGUCUAUCUCGACGACAUUCUGGUUUUCUCGAAGAACAAGAAAGAUCAUGCCAAGCACUUGCGUUUGGUUCUUGACAAGCUCAGAGAACAUCAGUUCUACGCCAAGUUCUCCAAGUGUGAAUUUUGGCUAGAUGAAGUUCUUUAUCUUGGUCAUAUCAUCUCCGCCAAGGGCAUUUCCGUGAAUCCUGAGAAGGUGUCCGCAAUUGUGAAUUGGGAACCUCCUCAGAACGUGAAGCAACUCCGCAGUUUUCUUGGUCUCGCAAGCUAUUGCAGAAGAUUCGUUGAAAACUUUUCUAAGAUCGCCAAGCCUCUCUCAAAUCUUCUUCAGAAGCACGUCAAGUACGUUUGGUCUCCGGAGUGUGAUAUUGCUUUCAACUCUUUGAAAGAGAAAUUGGUCACUGCUCCAGUUCUGACUCCGCCUGAUGAAACCAAGCCGUACGAGGUCUUUUGUGAUGCCUCUCUCCAAGGUCUCGGUGCUGUACUGAUGCAAGAGAAGAAAGUUGUUGCUUAUACUUCUCGCCAGUUGAAACCUAAUGAGAAGAACUACCCCACUCAUGAUCUCGAGUUGGCGGCAGUGGUACACGCUUUGUUAACUUGGAGACAUCUUCUAUUGGGAAGGAAAGUGGAUAUUUUCACUGAUCACAAGAGUCUCAAGUACAUCUUCACUCAGCCUAAUCUCAACCUCAGGCAGACUCGAUGGGUCGAAAUGAUUCAAGAGUAUAAUCCGAGUAUCGAGUAUACUCCAGGCAAGGCUAAUGUGAUUGCUGACGCUUUGAGCAGAAAAGCAUAUUGCAACAGUCUGAUUCUCAAACCUUACCAACCCGAGCUUUGUGAAGCUUUCCGCAAACUGAAUCUGCAAGUUGUUCCUCAAGGUUUCCUCGCCAACCUUCAAGUCUCUCCUACCUUAGAAGACCAGAUUCGCCAAGCCCAACUUCUUGAUGCUAUGGUGAAGAAGGUGAAGAUUGGUAUUGCAAAGAGUCAGUCCAAGUACAAGUGCUACCGACUUGAUGACAAGGACACUCUCUUCUUCGAGGAUCGAAUUGUUGUGCCCAAAGGUGAACUUCGUAAGGUGAUCAUGAACGAGGCUCACAACUCUCUCCUCUCCAUCCACCCUGGUAGUACGAAGAUGUAUCAGGACCUCAAGCAAGCUUAUUGGUGGACUCGAAUGAAGCGCGACAUCGCUCAAUUCGUGAACGAAUGUGAUGUCUGCAGAAGAGUGAAGGCAGAACACCAAAGGCCAGCUGGUCUCCUCCAACCUCUUGCCAUUCCAGAAUGGAAGUUUGACCACAUUGAAAUGGACUUCGUGACUGGGUUUCCAAAGUCCAAGCGUGGCAAUGAUGCUAUAUUCGUCGUCAUCGACAAGCUCACCAAAGUGGCUCAUUUUCUGCCUAUCAAAGAGUCAAUCACUGCAGCUCAAUUGGCGGAACUCUAUACCUCUCGCAUUGUCUCUCUGCACGGUAUUCCUCAAGUGAUAUCUUCAGACCGUGGCAGCAUCUUUACCUCCAAGUUUUGGGAUUCUUUUCAGAAGGCUAUGGGCACCAACAUCCGCUUCAGCACAGCUUUCCAUCCUCAAACGAGCGGUCAAGUCGAGCGUGUCAACCAAAUUCUUGAAGAUAUGCUCAGGGCUUGUGUGAUCUCCUUCGGCAUGAAGUGGGAGGAUUGUCUUCCUUAUGCUGAAUUCUCAUACAACAAUAGCUUUCAAGCAAGUUCGGGCAAGGCCCCCUUCGAAAUUCUAUAUGGCAGGAAGUGCCGUACCCCUCUCAACUGGUCUGAAACCGGUGAACGUCAGCUGCUGGGUAAUGACUUAAUCACAGAAGCAGAAGAAAUGUGCAAAGUCAUUCGUGAUAACCUCAAAGCAGCCCAGUCCCGCCAGAAGAGCUACUAUGAUAGUAAGCAUCGUGAUCUGGUUUUCGAGAUUGGAGAUCAUGUUUACCUCCGCGUCUCUCCCAUGAAAGGUACUCGUCGCUUCGGUAUCAAAGGGAAGCUUGCCCCUAGAUACGUGGGACCUUUCAAGAUUGUCAGCAAGAGAGGCGACCUCGCCUAUCAACUCGAGCUUCCUUCAAACUUUGCAAAUGUUCAUGAUGUGUUCCAUGUCUCUCAGCUUCGAAAGUGCUUCAAGACUCCUGACCGCACCGUCAACUUCGAGGACAUUGAGCUCCAAGAAGAUCUCUCCUAUCGUGAGCACCCAGUUGCUAUUCUCGAAGAGACUGAAUGCAAGACUCGCAACAAGUCAAUCAAAUUUCUCAAAGUCAAGUGGUCACACCAUUCCGACCGUGAAGCUACCUGGGAACGCGAGGAUCACCUCCGUUCUGAGUACCCGGAGUUCUUUCAGUCCUAGAUCUCGGGACGAGAUCUUUUCGUAGUGGUGGAGUGUUGUAACGCCCCAGAUGUAACUUUCCAUAUUUGUAUCCAACUCUUGCCGUCUCCGGCGCUAAGUUAUAUUUAUUUCUCGGGUUGGGUCUUUGUCUUCGUGUGUGUUGUUUUCGUUUUCAUGCAUCUCAUAUCAGGUCAUCACGUGCAUUGCAUUUGCAUACAUGUUCAUCUCAUGCAUUCGAGCAUUUUCCCCGUUGUCCGUUUUGCAUUCCGGCGUUUCGUUCUCCUCCGGUGGUCAUUUCUAGCUUUCUUUCUUGUGUGGGGUUUAAACAUUUCCGGAUUGGACCAAGUCUUGCCAAGCGGCCUUGGUUUACUACCGGUAGACCGCCUGUCAAGUUUCGGGUCAUUUGGACUUCGUUUGAUACCCCAACGGUUAACCGAGGGACCGAAAAGGCCUCGUGUGUGUUGCAGCCCAACACCCCCCAAAUUUGGCCCAAAACCCACCAAACUCUGCUCCAUGUCCUAGAGCGUUCGAUCACGAUCGUGUGGGCGAAAACCGCACCUCAUUUGGACUCUCCUAGCUCCCUCUAUGCCUAUAUAUACACCCCUCCGUUUUCGGAUCUCUCCCUCUCCCCGAAACCCUAAAAAAAAAACAGAUCAACCCCGCCACCGACGGACGUGUCCGGAUCCGACCGGACAACGUCCGCCCCGCCGCCGCAGCGAGUCCCGCGCCGCCACGUGGCCGAGGCCCACAUCGCCGCCGCCGAGGCCCGGGAGCCCGAGGCCGGCCCCCGCGGCCCGGCUCCGCGCCGCCGCUCUCCGCGCCCGUCCCCGACGCCUGCGCCGCCUCCUUCCCCGACGCCGGUGACCGGCGCCGCCGCGGGCCGCCUCCCCGCCGCCGCUCGCCUCCCCGGUCCGGCAGCGCCCCGCCGCGCCGUCCGCGCCAUCCCCGACGCCGGCCGACCCCGCCGCCGUCCGCGCCGCCCGCCUCCUCACCGGCCCCGCCGCCCUCUCCCUCCCGGCCGGCGAGCCCCUCCUCCGCGCCAAGUCCGACGCCGGCGAGCUCCAGAUCGGGCCGGCGAACCUCGGGAGUCGCGCCACUGCUACAGUGCGGCUGGAUCUAGAUCUAGGUUGACUUCUCUCCCCCUUUUAUUAUGUAUUACAUGGGAUGUUGUAAUGAUUGCCUGACUUGCGACAUUGCUUUCAAUGCGGUUAUGCCUCUAAGUCGUGCCUCGACACGUGGGAGCUAUAGCCGCAUCGAGGGCGUUACAAUGCCGCGGGCCGCAGGCAGGCAAGUCCGGGGACCCCCGUUCCCAGAAUGCCGACAGUUGUUGUCUGUAUCGAGAGGUAGGCACCACAUCUAAAUUGUACAUUAUUCUAUAUUGAAAACACACAUCACCCCUUCCCAACGUACAUCAUUUUGGGCCACAUGCAAGAGGUGCUGGUUUUGUGGUCCCUCUCGUGCGAUGUUUAUGAUGGUUCAAUCUAUUAGCCCAAGUGGUUUAUCGACAACAACAGCUGUCAUUUGACCAAAUGAAAGAUUCAUUGGUCUGUCUUAUGUAGGUCAUGUCGACAUGCAUGUAUGACCAAAGUAUCGAUCAUUACGUGCAUCCGCCCUGCUGACACGAAGUGGGAGGUGGUGGGCCAAGCAUCCUAGCUAGGUACGACAUUAUGUCAUUAUAUAUAUCCUAGCUAGGUGGCUGUUAGGGUGCUUUUGGGUUUGCGAGGCAGGUGCCACCAAAGUUAUGCAUUGUGUAUUUAAAGUUUUAAACAUCCCCAAUAUUCGUAUAUAUAUUUGGCCACUUCCAGGUGGUUCUUGACUUCUGGCCCCUCUCGUAGAUCUUCAAUGAUGCGCCCAACCGUGGGCCCGCGGGGUCAAAGUUGUGCACUAGAAUUUUGAACAUCACAUACCACCCUUUUCACUCAUAUAUAUUUGGGCCACAUGCUGGUGUGGCUAUCUUUUGACCCUCCCUAACGUUAUAUUUUGCUGCAAAGACUCUGAUGAUCCUUAACGGACACGGGGUAUAAUAUCUAAACCAUGUGCCAUACAAGUGCGAUGUGAAUCACCACGACCACGCAAGCGCGAGCAAAUUAAGGUGGAGGUACUGGCUCAACCGUGUACGAUGCAAGUGCGCUGAAAUCACCACGACCGUGCAAGCGCGAGCGAAGGGUGGAGGUACUGGCUUAACCGUGUGGGAUGCAAGUGCGCUAUAAAACCACCACCCGUGGAAGCUAAAGGCGGGUAAGUUUAUUUGGAAAUUAGGACGAACCGUGUGAGAUAGACCUGCUAGCUAGAAAUAUAAAAAACAAACUACCCGCCUUGAGCGUUGCAAAAAUCGGCGGAUUCAUGCCACUUUUCCUUAUUAUCAUACACGCAUACUGUUAUUGGACUGUGCAUGAUCUUGGGCACUCCCGCCCCGCAUCAAUUCCUUUACCCAAAUUUUAGUAGCCGCCGUACUUCAACCGUCGCCCACACUCCUCCGGCAUCGACCUUAUAGUAAAAUUUUAGUAGCCGAGGCAUUUGAACCGUCGCCCUCCCUCGUCCACCACCAUCCCCGCCCACCAUUAUUAAAAUUUUCAGUAGCCGUGGCAUAUCCUCAAACACCCCCCCUCCAUAGUCCCCGCCCCCUCCCCCCUUCGAACCCUAGCUCGCGGCCGCCGCCGGUGCCGCCACCAACCCUGCCGGUCUGCCCGUUCCUCCUAGCUUAGAUAAUAAAGUUCAGCUUAUCCAGCGAUUCCCAUACCGUGGCCCCACUCCCCUGAGUUUUUAGAUGAGGCAUGCGGUGUCCCUCCCCGCCAGAUCCACAUCCCCUGCUCCAGAAUGUCGCAGCCUAAGCUCGAGCAUGUAUCUCGGGGAGCCCGACGAGCAUUCGGCCAAGAAGAGGUUUAUCGUGGCCUCUCCGGUGGACGUUGGUGAGGUGGCCGCCGUUCGCCCCGACCUGUCGAUCCCGAAGCAACACAUCACCGCGGACGCCGGCGAAGACGUUGACUAUGUUGCCAUGCCAAAGGCUUCAUGUCAGCGGGCUAGCGUAUUACUGUAUCUCGGGAAAGCUGGCUAUGACAUCAAUCUCAUCCACACCGAUGGCUUCAUGCGGGCCAUGUCACAGGUUAAGUGGUCCAUCCCCAACCCCUCUGGUUCAACCGCCGUCGAUCUCUUUGACGGCCCUGUCACUGAUCUUCUCCACCAAGCGGUCAAGGAUUUGCGAGCUUUAUACGCCAUCGAGCCCAUUUUGUCACUUCUGAAGGACACGUUCUACGGCCGCGGCUUGGGAUCCUCAAUUGCCAAGUCAGAUCUCAUCGACCACGACCACGAGGAGGGCACCCACGAAGGUUCUUCCAAGGUGAAACAGCCCAUCUGUGACAUCAAAGAGCGCACCAUGGGUAUGUGCUCUUCCAACUGGAAGGAUCCUGUCCAUGAAAUGUGAGGCAACAUUCUAUCAGCAAAUAUUACCUUUUCCAGCUUGCCAACCCGUACCCUUUGUUGUAGUAGCAUUUGUCGUGUGGUGCUUUAACUGUGCCAUGUUUAAUUAUUUCAGUUAUGCGAAAAUGUAUUGUUCAAUAGGUCUAUGUGAUGUUUAAGUACGAAUUGUCCACUUUAGUUUCAUGAAUGGCUAUAUUUGGUUGUUUAUAGUGAGUAGCUGCCUUAUUUAUCUAUAUUUGGUUGUUAGGUUGGUUGGAGUGAGCAUUUUUUCAGUUAUCGAGCAGAUGCCUUGUUUAUCUGUAUUUGGUUCUUAGUUUGGUUGUGGUGAGUAUUUGUCCAGUUAUCAAGCAGACGCCUUGUUUAUCUGUAUUUGGUUGUUAGGUUGCUUUUUUUAGCAUUUGUCCAGUUAUCAAGCAGAUGCCUUUUUUAUCUGUAUUUGGUUGUUAGGUUGCUUUUUUUAACAUUUCUCCAGUUAUCCAGCAGAUGCCUUGUUUAUCUUUAUUUGCUUGUUAGGUUGGUGCAGUGAGCAUUUGUCCAGUUUUCAAGCAUAUGCCUUGUUUAUCUGUAUUUGCUUGUUAGGUUGGUUGCAGUGAGACUCUGUCCAGUUUUCAAUGGCUAUAUUUGGUUGUUAUACUGGUCAUUUAUGCCUUGUUUAUUUCAGUCAUUCACAAUGUGUGGUUCAUUAUGUGCAAGUCAGAACCGUGCCGCUUGACUACAUCAAUACCAGUUUGAACGGCUAUAUUUGGUUCUAGUUAUUCCUGGUGUAGUUAACACAUGCCCUUUAUUUUCAGUUUUACACAUUUAUCCAAUGUGAUGUUUAAGCAUUACCUAUGGUCUACUCCCUCCGUUCCAAAUUACUCGUCGCAGAAAUGGAUGUAUCUAGAACCAAAAUACAUCUAGAUACAUUCAUACUUGCGACAAGUAAUUCAGAAUGGAGAGAGUGUUCAUUUUCAACAAUACCAGUUUGAAUUGCAAUAUUUGAUGGUUGUUAAGCCAGCUGUCGGUAACAUUGCCUUCCAUUUUAUAUCUACUUUAACAGCAUGCUGAAACCAACAAAUUCAAGCUAUCAUUUGGAGAUGAUGUUUACCUUUGCUAUAUUUGUUUGAUGUUAAGAUUGAUGUACUUAUCAUGCCUUUCCACUACUUAUGCAGGACAACAACGGGAGUGGCCACCAUUUUCCGCCGAGGUUAGAUUCAUCCCUAGGCUUGUACUCCCCCCAUCGUUACAUAAUGUAGUGCAUAUAGAUCCAGGCCUGGACACUAGUUAGCCUCUAAUAUUGACUUGUUCCUUGUUGGUACAUAUGCCCUUGGCAAGGAUCCACGCAUCGACCCUUUUUGCAUAUGAGACAAUGAGAUAUUGAUGAACAAGCAUCAAGUGAGGAAACUAGUAAGGAUUAUUAGCAAAAAGAUACGAAUGGUGGCAAGCAAAUUAUUUGUUUAUGCUCUAUCCAACACAACAGUGAGUUGUAGGAUGGUAACUACAAACUCUGCAACCUUCUCUUUUUACUGCCCAUAAUGAGUUGUUAGACAACAAUGUCUGGAUCUUUUUUUCGUUCCCAGUGGUUCCCGAAGCAGUUCACUCAAGAUUACCUCGCAAAGUACAUGAUUGGUGGACACGCAAUGAAGGUUAAAGUAUUUCAUCCAGACUACAAUGAGCAUCGAGAAGUCCUAACGAAGACAGUGCAGGAUGGACAGGCAGCCAUCACAGGGGGUUGGCCUAGAGUCGUGUGUGCCUUGCGCAUGGAGGAGGGCACAAUAUGGGCAUUCCGCUUCACCUUCUCCAGCAACCAGAAUGUCUUUUGCCUCUCUCUUUACAGUCUUUAGUACAACUGUGGUUCAUCAUUCUUUACUUGGUGCUUCGGUAGUUCUUUAGUAUAUGUACCUGUGCAUUGAAUUAUGGAUUUGUGGUUGAACCUAUAUUUGUAAUAAACAUGGUUGGAUAUGAAAUAAGUGAUUGUCUACUUCCAAAUUCAUAACAUUUGAUUUUUAAAUUAGGGAUUAAUUAUGGAUUAAAUAGGGAUUACACUGCACACGGUUUGCGAAAGUGAAACGUAUGCGAUAUACGUGGAGAUCAGACAUGUUUCUAGGCUCCACUACGUGUGCGAUCAAUCUCCACUGCACACACGACUUUCUCUUGAAAAUUGUUUGCGUUAGGCCACCUUGCGCAAAUGUUUAUCACAUAAAAAGUGUGUGUGAUGGACAGCCUUUGCCAGAUAGUUUAUUUCUACGCACCGUGUGUGAUGCAUUCAAUAACGCAAACGGUAAAAUUAUUAAUAUCGUGUGCAACGACAAUGCUAUCACAAACGAUUUAACGGGAAAAAUUGUGUGUGAUGUACCUGUGAACGGAAACGUUUUCCUUGGAGCGAUUGUGUGGGAUGUACAUACGAAUGAAAACGUUUAGCAGGGACAGACUCUGUGGGAUGUACUUAUGACUGGAAACAAUUUCGCCGUAUAAUUGUAUUUUUUAGCUCUACUAUACGUAUUUUCGUAUUUGAGCACUCGCCAGUCGCACACGACCUCAUUUUGCCAAACGUGUGUGCCAGGAGGGCAUAUCCCCGACGGUUUUUGGGUCGUGUGGGAAGGACCCCCAUAUCGCCCACACUCACUUGGCGACGGUUCCAAAUGUCGUCGCGGAAAGGGGUUUUAAACCGUUUGUUUAGGACCGAUGCGCACCAGUGUGUGGGCAACGAACACUGCAUUGUAUAGAAAGAAAGUGCCAUAUCCACCUUUUACAUAGACUACGAUCUUUUACAUGGAAUACAAUCUGCCUACUUGCUUUGUGUCACACUACCAGCACUCCACCCUUGAAGCUAAACAUUAUGCCACUCAUAAUUCCUUAGUUUAUUUGUUCAAAUAUGAAUUUGAUAUGAUUAUAAUGAUCCUACUUCAAUUUUGAAAUGUGUGUCCGCCUGUUAUAGAGACAUAAGAGGUUUGUAUUUCUGUGUGUGGUCUGGUCAGCAUGGUUGGAGGAUGAACUUUGUAUACGUAGGGGUUCGUAGUGAGACACUCUUCAAGUUGAAUCCGCAAUGUAUUCCAUAGAUAAUUGACUACUUUUUAUGUUUUCAUGAAUCUCAGAUACUGAACAACAUUAUAAUGAUUAUGAGUUUGCGCGCAUGAAAAGAAUAAAGCAGAACAAUGCCAUGGUUGUCAAACUUUGCAUUAAGGGACUGAAAUCAAGUCUGGAUGCAAUGCAAUGAAAUGCAAAUGCUCUCCACCUACAGAUUCAUGCUCAGAAUAUGAUCCUAACAAUGAUUCUGAGCUAGAGGGAGACCUAAGUCAAUGUAGCUCCCUAGUGGAGGAGUCAGAGGAGAUGCCCUAUCUUAUUCACCCAUCAAGAUGCUUGCUCUAAGUUUCCAAGGUUAUAUUAGUCGCACAUAUCUUGCAACUGAUGCUUUGCAUUGCUUCUACUUUGUUGCACUGCCAUUAGCUUAGCUUACACAUCGUCUAUGUGAAUACGCCCUGCCUUUCCAUUUUUAGUACAUAUUCCAUCUGUCAUCAUACCAUAUUUAUUCAUUCAAAUGUUGUUCUUGUGUAUCAGACGUUCAAAAGGAAGAGGGUGAUUUCUCAUCAUGAAGGAGCACGAACAAAGUAUUUGGAAAAGGUAGUGACGACUGAUAAAUCAAAUAGCCCAUUAGGUGCAGUUGCAAUAUCAGCAGACCCAGAAAACUUGGCCACAACUCUAGCAGACUCUAGCCCUACUGCACUGACCAUCUCUGAUGCCCCAACUCAGCAGACCCCAACCGCAGCAAACAAUAUGAUGAUGCCAGUUGACAUAGCACCAACUCUAUGACGCAAAACUCCCAUUCUGGCAAAGAGUACACCAAAUCCAGUUGUCAAAUCUCUUUUCGAACGAGAGAGAGCCCCAAUUGCAGCAAAUAGGACCUUGUUCCACUUCUUCCCAGUGCACAUCUUUCCUUCAUGGAAAGACUAUACCACAGACAAAGAACAAUUUCCAAUCUUCCUCCGCAACUUACGCGUAAGUAAUGUACUAAUGUUAUUCAUGGUAAUUACUACAUAUGUUUAUGCUCAGAGAAGACAUAAGAUUUCAUUAUUUUAAAUUGGCAAGGACCAAACUGGAUAGUCAAUACGAUCAAGGGUUGGUUGCGCUUUUCAAGCACUCAUUGAUGAAGUACUGUUCCUACCUAAGGCAAGCACACUUAGAUGGCAAGCCUCUAAACAAAAUUGCUAUGAAGUCUCUGGUGCUACAUAUAUUAGACAGUGACUUGAAUAAUCUUGUUAUACAUUGGUCUCAUCUACGGCGUAAGGUACUGUCUAUAAUAUCACAUCACAAUUUGAACUACAUUUCUGCAUGUGCCUUAACGUAUCACUCGUACGAAAACUUUUUGCAGAAGAACAUUCAUUAUUAAGGGACCACAGAAUCUUGCAACUAUACGGCACACUGCAUUGCUCUUGUGAGUACCUCUUGCCUUGUAUGACCAUACUUACUUUCAUAGCUGGUUGAUUAUGUAGCAUCACUAGACAUGUUAACCUUGUUAUCCUCCAUUUGGUGGACAUUAUAAGAUCUGUAUCGACUCUUACAUAAAUUUAGAAUCAACCCAAUGCUUUUGAAAAGGUUUAGCUCUCCAGUCCUCUUGUGAGGGCUGAACAUCGUCUAUCACUUUACUUACAUUAACAGCCACUCCCUUCGUCCCAUAAUAUAAGAGCGUUUUGUACAGUACACCAGUGUAUAAAACACUCUUAUAUUAUGGGAAGGAGAGACUGGUUCACUAUGUAACAUUCUGCAUCUUAUCUCCCUUGCCGACCAUUUACUAAAAACUACCAGACUAUAUUUAAUCUUACCAAAGAGUUGAAUACACAAACAAUGCCAGUGCAGAAGUGUAGCACAUUGCUCUUGUCAGUACAUUUUGUCCUGUAAUGCUUGUACUUACAUGGAUUGGUAGUUGAUUAUGUAGCAUCAAUCUGCAUAUUUUCUUCAUUAUCCUCUAUCCCUUCCAGUAAUAUCAUAUCUAUAAUUACUCUCUACAAAAUGUAGAGUACAUGCAAUGCAUAUGAAGAAGAUUUUGUGCUGACAUUCUUGAGUUAUCGUUCCCUUGACAUGGAUAAGGGCAUUGUAAAGCCGGUGUUAACUAUUAAUGUAAGUCAGUCUGGCCCUCUCAACGCUCCCCCGCUCCCGCGACUAGGUUUCCCCCACUCCCCCCGCCGGCGGUCGCCAGCAGCGCGCUCCCCGCCUCCCUGAAUAAGAAAUUCGAGUCCUCGAAGAAAAAGGGUGGGUGGGCGGGAAAAAUAAAGGCAACUUGGAGACGGAUGAAACAAACACCGUUGAGAAGAAGUGAUAAUAGAUCUUGUGAAUGUUGAAAUGAUUGGAUCCACUUGAAGAGAAACACGCCGGUGAAAAGAAAUUGGCAUGACAAUCUCGAUUAUCAUGAAGGAUUAGUAUUCCCAUAGGAAUAUGAGAACACCAUUUGGGGAAGGUAUGGAAUCAACAUUUGACUUCGAAGCAACUCGAAUACCACAACUCAAAAACAAAAACAAAGGAUUGGAUUGCAGAAUAAGCCAGGACAAACAUAUGAUAGAGAUUUCGUCCGAAGUUUUCGUGGUGGGGCCUACACGGGCUCGAUUGUACAACACCAUCAUGUACAAGGCAGUGCACAUGACAUACGAAGCGUCCCCGAGUCGGCAUAGCCAAGGACCCUUUAAGACACAACGAGACCACUGUAAAAUCAACCGUGAAUAGGCGGACCACUAGACGUCGAACCCCAAUUUCAUAUCAUACAUCUGUCGGAAAGAUAUCCUAAGAGCUACUUGAAUUCCCACUUAUAAACUCCCGAAUUUUCUAGUUAUGCAAUCAGGUGUUGGGGAUACAAGGGAAGCAUAAUAUCUCACCCAAAACUAGCAAAUCCUACAUCCAGCUGUAUCCAUCCUUCAACACAUAACCAAGAAACCUUCGGAAAUCAUCUACCUCAACCUUCGAAAAGCAUCCGUUAUACAAGUUAUGGCAAUACUCCCGAACUCCCGCCCCAGUACUGGGUGGCGUCGAGGUUAUCUCACCAACAACUGCAUAGAAGAGAUUUUCAAUGUCGGCGAAACUAAACUCAGGUAUUCCAGAACUGCAAUGAUAAAAUUGUGACGACAACACCUCGGAGCUCAACUCCCCGGGACACUGCCACAACCCCUAAAUGACAGGAGGCACCAAGAACAAUGUUCUCAUCACAAAACCAUCGGAACGAUUCCAAGAUACCCGCGUGAUCCUAAAAAUUUUUUAGUGAAAUUUGAGAAGAGAAGAGUCAAAACUCUACGUCAGGAUGCCUUACCAGAGCGAUGAAGGGACUGAGGAGUAAAAAGAAUUCCUAAACUCUUCGAUAUAUAAUUCCUAAAAGACUCAAAACAUUUUUCUAGACUCAACUCGUCAGCUAAUUCGAUCAAGCAGGGGGGCUCCUAAGGUCGGGGAAGGCUCUGAUACCAACUUGUAACACCCUCGAUGUGACUAUAUCUCCCACGUGUCGAAGCACGACUUAGAGGCAUAACCGCAUUGAAAGCAAUGUCGCAAGUGAGGUAAUCUUCACACAACCCAUGUAAUACAUAAGGGAAAGAGAUACAUAGUUGGCUUACAAUCGCCACUUCACACAAUUACAUGAAUAAAGCAUUACAUCAUCCAAAUACACUCAAGGUCCGGCUACGGAACCAAAAUAAAAGAAGAACCCCAAAUGCGACACGGUCCCCGAUCGACCCCAACUGGGCUCCACUACUGAUCAACUAGAACGAAACAACACAAAGGACAAGAUCUUCAUCGAGCUCCUCCUUGAGCUUGGUUGCUUCAUCUGCACGGACUCAUCGGCACCUGCAAGCUGGUUUUGGAAGUAUCUGUGAGCCACGGGGACUCAGCAAUCUCGCACCCUCGCGAUCAAGACUAUUUAAGCUUAUGGGUAAGGUAAAGGUAUGAGGUGGAGCUGCAACAAGCGACUAGCAUAUAUGGUGGCUAACAUACGCAAAUGAGAGCGAGAAGAGAAGGCAAUGCACGUUCGAGAAUCUAUGAUCAAGAAGUGAUCCUAGAACAACCUACGUCAAACAUUACUCCAACACCGUGUUCACUUCCCAGACUCCGCCGGAAAGAGACCAUCACGGUAACACACGCGGUUGAUGUAUUUUAAUUAAGGUCAACUUCAGGUUUUCUACAACCGGAUAUUAACAAAUUCCCAUCUGCCCAUAACCGCUGGCAUGGCUUUCGAAAGUUCAAAUCCCUGCAGGGGUGUCCCAACUUAGCCCAUGACAAGCUCUCACGGUCAAUGAAGGAUAUUCCUUCUAGCGGGAAGACCCGAUCAAACUCGGAAUCCCGGUUUCAAGACAUUUCGACAAUGGUAAAACAAGACCAGCAAAGCCACCCAGAUGUGCCAACAAAUCACGAUAGGAGCUGCACAUAUCUCGUUCUCAGGGCACACUGGAUGAGCCAGACGUCGGGUGGGCCAGCCCAGAGUUGCCCCUGGUAACUCCGGACAUCGCUCGGUUUGGACCAACACUCAGAGGAGCACUGGCCCGGGGGUUUGAAAUAAAGAUGACCCUUGAGUCUGCAGAACCCAAGGGAAAGAAAAGGCUAGGCGGCGAAUGGUAAAACCAAUGUUGGGCCAUGCUGGAGGAGUUUUAUUCAAGGGAAACUGUCAAGGGGUUCCCAUUAUAACCCAACCGCGUAAGGAACGCAAAAUCCGGGAACAUAACACCGAUAUGACGGAAACUAGGGCGGCAAGAGUGGAACAAAACACCAGGCAUAAGGCCGAGCCUUCCACCCUUUACCAAGUAUAUAGAUGCAUUAAUUAAAUAAGAUAUAUUGUGAUAUCCCAACAAGUAAACAUGUUCCAACAAGGAACAACAUCUCCAUGUUCCAACAACGAACAAACUUCAAUCUUCACCUACAACUAACAACGCUAUAAGACGGGCUGAACAAACGGUAACAUAGCCAAUCAACGGUUUGCUAGGACAAGGUGGGUUAGAGGCUUGGUUCAACAAUAUAGGAGGCAUGUUAAGCAAGUGGUAGGUAUCGCAGCAUAGGCAUAGCAAAAGAGCGAGCAACUAGCAAGCAAAGAUAGAAGUGAUUUCGAGGGUAUGGUCAUCUUGCCUGAAAUCUCGCAAGGAAGAAGAACGAGUCCAUGAAGAAGACACACGGACGAAGUCGAACGGAUCCUCACAAACGUGACGUUACCGGAACCAACCCAAAGAAGCAACACCGGAAAGAAGCACACAACAUAGUAAACAACCAACACAUGAGCAUGACACGGUGCGCAAACAAGUAUGAUGCAUGUCUGGUUUAAAUAUGCAUGGCAUGGCAAUGGGUACAAACAAAACUACAAGUUAAGUGGAGCUCAAUAUGUAACGAGUUGCAUAUUGAUGGAACGCCACAUCAAUUAUUUAGUUCUCUCUCGUUUAUGUACACAACAAUAUUAAAUGUUGGUAAGCAUGUCAAGAGGUGAAACGUGAGUAAAAUACACAGUCUAAGCAAUUUAAAUGGGGCCGGAUAUAACAAACAACAAAUCAGGUAAAUACCCAUAUGCAUUAGUAAUUUAUUGCAACAACAAUUUAAACAUUUUAAUUGUUGUUAUCAUGAUGCGGAUGACAUGUGCAAGUUUAUGCAAUUUUUAUUAAAAGUUUGACAAGAGCAUUAUGAAGCAUUUGGUCGCCAUGGCGGAACAAAAGGGGUGCCACGGCAACUACAACGGAAAUGGUGCUACAGCAACAUUCCGGGUGAUCCGACAACUCAUUGAGAUGUCGGUGCAAGAGAAAAUGUGGUUGAACGGAUCAUGCGAGGAUGGUGGGGUGAUCCCGGAUACCGGGUUUCCCAUGGGUCGACGGCAUGGCAACCGAGGAGGAACGUGCAAUGACAACUCGGACACGGUUCGAACAUGAGCAUCUCAUACAACAUGCAUUCAUUCUUGGAAGGUCGUCUCGGCGGUUAUACCUUUGAAGCAUGCGUUAUCGGAGGGGUUCAGGUUCGAUGCGGUGUAGGGGAAGUAGACAUUCUCGGGACGCUCGAUAGUGGAAGUAGGGGGACAAGACGACGGUAGAGGUACUCGUGAUCUUGGCGGCGGUAGUCGUUCACGUUCUUAGUUGCACGAUUUUUCAUAGAUGUUCGGGAUCACGGCGAGGGACUUGACAUCCACGGAGGCUUCAAGGGUCGACGGUAGUUGUUCUCGUAUCAUCGCGGAAGUAGUCGUACUCGACGAUAGUGGUACUUGGUGUUUCGUUCGGUACUCGUUCGAGCAUCCAAAGUCUUCGGCGCUACGGUAGUCGUACACACAUUCGGAGAGGACUUGUCAUUUCGGUAUGAAGUCGUUCGGGCGUCGGUCUUGCCGGUGGCGUACUUAGAGAAACCCCGUAGUCGUACAUAGGUAGUAGAGGAACUUGACGCAUCCAAACGAAGCAAAACGAAAGCCUCGGGUCUUGGUGGUCAACGCAGGGAGGCAGGCGACGAAGAGCUUGGUCUCCUCUGCACUGCUUCGAUGUAAAGAAACAGGAGGCAGAGGCGAGACGGGCAACGCGAGACGGGGACAGAUGAGGCAGGCGCGGGACGAGCGGAUUCUAGCCGCCGGCGAAGGAUCCAGGCGGGCACAGCGGCAAGGGCCCUGGACGGCGUCUGCUACAGAAGGUGUCCCGCAAGGUUAGGAUGGAGCGGCAGUGGAGUCGCGAGGAAUGCAGGGGCCGCGGGUGAGCUCGCUUGGGGAGCUCGUCGGGCGCAUCUGGUCGAUGUCAAAGCCAACAGAGGCACAGCGAGAGGAGCUCGGCCCCUGGCACGUGUGAGGACGGGAAGGAGCGGCGCGGCUCCUUUGCGGCUUGGACUCCACCGGCCGGAGCGACAGCAGGGAGCUCCUUCUCCCACCGAAGACGGCGACGGGAGGAAAGGGAGAGAGGCGACGCGAAGAUGGAGGCGCCAUGGCGUGUGCUAGCGCGGCGCUGGAGGGAGACGAGGGGAAACGGGCAAGCGGCGGCGCUGAAAGGGCAUUGAGGGAGAGAGCGGCGGCGAGGGAGCGAAGGGGUGCAGCGCGUGCGUACUGAUCCCCUCUGGCGGCGUUGAGGGACGAGGAGGGAGCGAGGGGGAGGAAACAGGGAGGCUAGGGGUUCGGUCGGGCCUUGGCUGGUUCUUGGCCCGGCCGGCCUGAGGCUGUAGCCGGGCCUUAGGGGAAAAAGGAUGGGCCACCCUGAGAUCUAGGCUGGGCUCUCUCUCUCACUCUAGAACGAAAAAAAACAGAGAAGAAAAAAAACAAGAAAGAAAGAAAGAAAAGAGAGAAAAGAAGAUGGUAGGAGAAAGAAUAUAUUCUCAAACUCAUAAAAAAUGAGUCCAAUCCCAGAAAAUAGGAGUGGGCAUGGAUGCAAGGUUUAGAUUCAAACACAUUUGAAUUAAAUUCAAAUGGGUGAAUAGGAAGUGGAGGUUUGGAAGGUCCAAAAAUGUUCGGUUUUUAGAGGAACCUCGAUAAAAGAGAUACAGAAUUAUGGACAAGAUGUGAAGGUCAAACUCGAAGUGGAAAUAGGCAUGAGGAUUAUUUUUGCACGUGUGUUAUGGUGAAUAUCAAAUUAAAGAAAUAUUGAAUAUAGCUCCCUACUAUCGGGAGGGUAGGUUAUAAAGAGAAACCACCAAGUGAGUUCCCUCGAUUUAAAUGGAUCGAAGAUCCACACAAUUUAUUUAGUUGAGUUAAGAAAAGAAAUGACAUGAUGGCAUGAUGACACGAUGCAAUGCACAUGAUGCAAUGAUGAAUGCAAAGAACCAAACAAAUCACACGACGAAACCCGGAAACAUGGAAGGCAUCUGAAGCUCCGGUCUUGGGGCGUCACAAUAUGCCUGAGGCAUGCACAAGUCUACUGAAGGUUGUGAGACAAACCCAACAUAUAUUGCAGCAAAGAAGGCAAAACAUCUUGAAGAUAGCGAGACAACCCCAAAGUCAUGUCUUGAUGCAGUGUCCAAGUUACUUGAGACUAGCAGUCAGACAAGCUCACACAAUUCGCUGUCUAAAUCAGUUCGACUUCUUCAGUCCCAAGUUCAAGCAGAAAGGAAUUCUGCAACUCAACUUUGACUUGAAGUCCUAUCUCUAAGGAAGAUUGCGGAGAACACCAAUGAGAACCUCAUUGCUAAACAGCUACGCCUGGAAGCUAUGACCGACAUGCUAGGCCGGUCUCACAGCCUUGCUCAGCAGCUUGCGUAGCAGCUCACGGGCAAGGCUAACUUUUCUUGAACUGUCUUGGAAGUGGUCUUGGUUCAGUAUUAUUUCGUUACACUACAAUGGUGCCCAGUUUUUGUAAUCUUCUUCUUCGUUACGCUUUAUGAUCAUUGGUGGUGAACUUUGAUGCCCAAUAGAUGUAAUAUACCAUAAACCCUUUAUUGUAUAGUGUAGGUUUAUUCUAAGUUACUAUGCCGUGAUUUCUUUAUUGUAUAGAGUAGGUUUGUCCUUAAUUCCUACUAGUUACCAUAUAUGCCAUCAUCCGCCAUCUGAAAAAAUGGCGAAAAUCUGAUGUAGUCGACCGGGUCGAAACAUUUGCCUCUAACGGGCCUGCAUUUUAGUAGGACACAAUUGGGCCGGCCUGCAACUUUCUUGGGCCUGAAAGGCCAUUGGGGCCCUUCACACUUUGCGCCAGACCCACAACUUACACGAGCCUACAUUCGUCCCAAAGUUUAGUUGGGCCUUUAGUGGACCCAACGCUUAGUUGGGCCCAUGUAGCUUUGGGCCAUUAAGAGGGUGAAUAUUCUGGUGGCCUGUUAUGGCCCAGAAGAUACAAUGGGCCUUUACCGGGCCGAAAUGCAUGUUGGGCCUCAAUUUUCAAUAGUCGUCCACGGGCCUUUAUCAGGCUGAAAUGUGGACCGGGCCAUUAUUGGCCCAGUUAUAGGACGGGCCAUUACUAGACCAAAACAUAUCUCGGUCCUUAGUUGGCCCACUGAUAUCAUGGGCCUUUAAGAGACUGAAAGCUUAGUAGAGGCAUCAACGGGUCGAAUUAUAUGACGGGCCUUUAACAGGCCCAAAGUUACGUUGGGCUGAACUAUUGCCACCUUGAUCACAAGCAGUUAGUGAGCCAGAUGUCACGUCGUACCAUAUAUGGCGCAUGGGCAGCACAGGCCAUUCCCAGGCCGAAAGACACACCGGGCUAAAAUGGGCCCAUGUCUACAUCGGGCCUCUAACAGGCCAAAAUGUCACUGGGCCAUUUUUGGGCCCAAAUACUCGGCGGCCAAUUAACGUGCCAGAUCUGUCUUUGGGCCGUAAAUGGGCCAUGUUUAAGUAGGCCCUUAGUGGGCUGGCCCACCAGUACCUGAGUGAAUACUAUGGGCCUUUGACUGGCCGGCCUUUUAACCUAUAUGGGCCUCUGUUGGGCCCUGCCACAUGUCGAUGUAUCAUAGGCACGUCUCCUCCAUUGGAUGGACGACAUCUGGCCCACCAAGGAGCCGACACGUGUUUCCUCCAACCAAUGAUGAUUUUAGACGUGGAAAAUCUCCAUUGGUCCAGACUGUUAACGGGUUAUUGGAUCCAAACCGGAACCCGAUAGCUUAACGGCGACCCGUUAUGGUGAUGCCAUGUGUCGGUUACCCUUGACAAAAGCACUUCCAUGAUGCGCCAUUUAUAGUCAUGGAAGUGGACACUUCCGUGAUGAUAAUUUUGGUAUUGUCAUGGAACACUUCUACGACAACACAGGUAUGACUAUAUUGAUUCUGUCAUAAAAUUGUCAUGGAUGUACAUGCAUGACAGAAAACGUGACCUAUUGUGACAAACACGUAUCAUGACAAAGGUGGUUUUGUUUUUGUUUGUGAUACUUUCUAGUGAUGACCGUAGUUUGAGGAGUUCAUGUAUGCUUUGAUCCAGUUCUCUAUUAAAGGAGGCCUUAAUAUCCCUUAGUUUCCUUAUGGACCCCGCUGUCACGGGAGGGUAGGACAAAAGAUUGCAUGCAAGUUCUUUCCCAUAAGCAUGUAUGACUAUUUACAAAAUACAUGCCUACAUUAUAUUUAUGAACCGGAGCUAGUUCUAUAUCGCCCUAGGUUAUGACUGUUAUAUGAUGAAUAUCAUCCAGUGAAUUCACCGAUCCAAUGCCUAUGAAUUUCCCACAUAUUGCUCUUGCUAAGUUACUACUGCCAUUGCUACUGUUACAACUGCUACAAUACUGUUACUGUUGUUACCGUUACUAUUGCUACUGUUACCACUCCUAUCAAAACUAUCAUAUUACUGUGCUACUGAUCACCUUGCCGCAGAUAUUUAAUCUCCAGGUGUGGUUGAAUUGAAACUCAACUGCUAAUACUUACAAAUAUUCUUUGGCUUCCCUUGUGUCGAAUCUAUAAAUUUGGGUUGAAUACUCUACCCUCAAAAACUGUUGCGACCCCCUAUACUUGUGGGUUAUCAGUAGCAUAAUUUCUUUAAGCGUCGUCUAGAGUUUUACUAGCAUAAUGGAUAUUCAAUUUCUUAUCAACCCUUCAUAUAGUAGAAGAUGGGGGCCUGGGACUGCCAGUGGCCCCACAAGGUACUUGGGCACGCCCAGGGGGUGGCCACGCCCAAGUGCCUUGUGGGCAACUAGUGGGACCCCUGUGGUACUUCAUUGCUCUGGUAUUUUUAGUAUAUUUUAUAAAAAUUCUCCGUGAAAUUUCCACUCAUUUGGAGUUGUGCAGAAUAUGUAUCUCUGAUAUAGCUUUUUCAGGUCCAGAAUUUCAGCUGCCGGUAAUCUUCCUCUUCUUGUAAAUCUUGCAAAUUAAGAAAGAAAAGGCAUUAGAAUUGCAUCACAAAGUGUUACAAUGAUCAAAACAUUAUAAAUAACAGUAGGAAAACAUGAUGCAAAAUGGACGUAUUAUCUGCCACUAGCCACGCAACUGCAACUGCAUGUGUUCAACGUGUUUGCAACUACGUGUUGUUUUGUGAGGGUGGAAAGAGAGUUGCAUGUCUGCUGCUAGGAACGCAAUUGCAAUUGUCGCCCCCGACUGUAAUUAGGUAGUGUUUUGUCAAGGGAUUGGGAAUUACAUGUCUACUAUUGGGAACACAAGUGCAAGUGUCACUAGGAUUGCAACAACAUGUCUUGAAAGGUGCAACUAUGGAGUAUAAUGUUUCUUUUGCCUUGUUUUGUUGUGUCUUGUUGCAUGUGGCCUUUUCAUUCUUCUAUCUAUCUUAGUUUUCCCAUUUUUAACACCCGACAGCCUACGCACAACUAGAGUAGUACGUGGUUUAUUUUAUUUUUACCUAGUUUCUUUUCUCUUUUUUAUUUUAAUUUUACACGUGCACCACCCUCGUAUCCCCGUGUGCAACCAUGUUGAACACACGACUAAAGUUGCACAGUCCUGUUUUUUCAUUUUUCAUAAACAUUGUCUCUGUAUCUAAAUUGUGUGUCUUGCUAUUUUAAUAUUUUCAUAUGUUAAUUUAUCCACUUGUUAAUGUCUUUUUGCACUUUUAAAACGCUAUUGUUGCAGAUAAUUUAUGUUUACUUAAAUGGGCGUAUACUCAUAUAUAAUGAGUCAGCUGGGUUUGAUUUUUUGGUGGGUCUAUGAUUUUUUUUUAUUCUGGGGAUUUUUUGUGAUGCAUUGUGUUUUUGGCAAAAUAAUUGUACUUUUAGGUGAUGGUCUUUCGUUUGGGCAGUAGACACACAAUACAUUGCCGUUUGCAUUUUUGUGCUACAUAUAAGCGUUUGAUUUUGAAAACCUCAUAAAACAACUCAUGUUUUUAGACUAACUAGAUGAUACCCCGCGCGUUGCCGCGGGAACUUGUUGUGAUUUUUCUUAGCAGUAGAUAGAAAAAAUACGAACAAUAUCGCGGUACAUUAUUAUGCCAAACUACUUCAAGAGACAAUAUAUUACAAAUGUGAGCGGAGGCAAGGAGAUGAAAGCAUGAAAUAAGGGUAUAUUGUGAAAGCUUCGGAAACUGUCCAUACAAUUAACUUUUCCGUUGAGCAUGCAAACAAAUUCCCUACCCUAUCUCAAAUUCCUAGUUCUUUUCAGGGUCCCUUCUAAUUACUAUGAAUGGCUAUAUAGUAAAGAAGGUCUUCCACUUGUCAACUAAAAAAUAUGAAAUGACUAAAAAUAUUUGAACUUAGUUAUUGAGCAAAGUCGCACGCAAAUACCAUGAGGAAACCAUAAAUAUGUCAUCUUGAAAAAUCUGCAGUCAAAGGAAAAUAGCAUGUUUUGACGACAUUCUUUAUCAAAGUAGUUGACACAUUGGUAUGCAACUGUAAAAAUUGUGGUGAGACAAAUAUGUGUACUGUUACAUAUGAGAAGAUGACAACUCGAUUAGUCAGAACUUAUUAGUUGGUUAAGUGUAAUUUGUAUUAAAGGUAUAUGCUAUUGUACUACUUUUUGUCAGAUACAGAAAUUAAGACUUUAUGCAAUAGUUUUUUAUGCAAAUUGUGUGAUCGUCUUACCCGGAAAAAAAAAUAUUGUGCGAUCGUGAAAAUUUUAUUCACGUCAACUCAAACAUUAAUUUUAAUGAAAAAAUCAUAAUAACCUAGGAUUACCUGGCACGAUGGCUUGAGAACCAAUAAUGUAAAAAAUGGUGAGCAGUCACUUAGAAUAAACAAUCUUACAUCGGAUAAUUUGAUGUUUCUUGUUGAAUCGAAAAAGAGAUCAAGAUAAGCAUGGCCUCAAAUCCUCAUGGCACCCGCCGGUUCGGGUGCGGGUAAUACGCGCCCAAACCCUUACCCGUCUCAAAAUUUUUAGCCCAUACCCAUACCCUUACCCACACCCCGGGUAUAAAAUUGUUCCCAUACCCGUACCCGGCCGGGUACGGGUAAUACCCGCGGGUAAAAAUACCCAACUCUGUCACCUCACCCAAUUGACAUUUCAGCAAGUAUAUUGGAGCGUUUCAUCACAUAUAUACAAUAUUUCAUCAAUUCAACACGCAUAUUUCAUUAUUUUAGCAACAUAUAUACCACAAGUCAACAUUUCAGCAACAUAUAACCCAUUUUCAACUCAUAUAGACAACAUUCCAACACAUAUUUCAGCAUUGCAGCACUUAUAUACAUCAUUCCAGCACAUAUAAACAUCAUUCCAGCUCAUAUUUCGGCAUUUCAGCACUUAUAUACAGCAUUACAGCACAUAUAAUCAGCAUUACAGCACAUCUAAACAGCAUUUCAGCACAUAUAGGUACCAUUUUAGCCAUAGACAUAACACAUUUCAGCCAUAGAUUGGACACAAAUAGGUUAUAGGUUCGACAAGCAAAUAUGUUUGACAUAUAAAGGUUCAACAAGCACAUAGGUUUGAGAAAAAUAGGUUCAAGUUCAAUGCACAAAUAGGUUCAAGUUUGACACAUAGUCAUCAUAUCAACUUGAGCAUCUCCUACAUGACACAAAAUCCAAUUGAGUAGAUUGAUCUUCUCUCCACUUCAUCUUCAUGAGCCUUGACAUCUCACUCAAAGCGCCAAAUCCUAGUUUGAGACAUAUGCAAGAAAGACAUGAGAACUUGAAUUGUGGAGAGUUAUAUAUUUCCAAGACAUAAACAAGAAAGGUAUGUGUGCACUUCUUAUGUACCUGCAUCCCUUCUUGGAUGUCUUGAAGGCAAGUCCAAAAGCUAGCUUCUCCUGUGUUAGCAUCUACAAAAGUAAACAAUUGUCAACAAUCUGAAAACAAGAGAAAAUAUUAAUAGAAAGCACUAUUUGCUCACCUUUGAACUUGUUUCUAAGCCAAUCUUGUGAGCACAUCAAAACCUCAACCAUAUGUGGUGUCAAUCGGCUUCUAUGGUCAUUGAGCUUUCUGCCACUUGUAGAAAAGGCUGAUUCUGAAGCAACCGUUGUAACAGGAAUAGCAAAUAUGUCCCUUGCAACUUUCCUUAAGGUUGGAUACCUAGUUCCAGCCACUUUCCACCAAUCCAACACGUUGAACUUCUCAACAUAAGGCACUAAUCCAUCAUUCAAGUAUUGAUCUAUUUCACCUUGAAGUCUAGCUGUUGCAGGCAUUUGUUGAGCUACAAUGUUUUGAAAGACACUCAUGAUUGCAGGAGCUUUCAUUGUAGAAAUCAUAGAUUCUUCAUCCGGUGUAUAUGCCUCAUUUUCCACUUCAUAUUCUUCUAAUAAUAAGCGCAGACUAGCAACUAUGUCAUCAACUUUUUCAAUGCAUUCAUAAGAAGAUGGCUCAAUGCCAUGGAGCAUGGCAAAGCAAGCUACCAACAUUUGCUUCUUGUAUCGAGGAUCAAGAAUUAUAGCUAUAGCCAUUAGACCUUGGAUGUCGCUCCAAUACUUAUCAAAUUUUUCAGUCAUGCUUUUUGUCAUUUCUUUGAUAGUGUUGUUGCUAGAUGCUUCCCACUGCCUCAUUUUCAUUUUAAUUUCACAUAUCUUAGGAAAGUACACAUUGGCAGUCACAUAAUCAGUUCCAGAAAAUAGCUCGGUUAUUUCAUAGAACAACCUAAGCCUCUCUACAACAUCUACAGCAAAAGCCCAUUCUUCUGAACUAGGCAGCCACUCAUAUUGCUUUUCUUUUUCUUUUGCACGUUCAAAGACAGGUCUAUAAGGCAAAGCAAUAUCAAGCAUUACAAAAGUAGAGUUCCACCUAGUCUUGCAAUCAAGUCUCAACUUCCUUUUUAUAUUCACUUUCUUAUACUUGGCCAUUUCCUCAAACUUCUCUAUCCUUUUUGGUGAGGCGGUCCAAUAUGCCACACUUUCACGAAUGUUUUCUAUAGCUGAUUGCAUAACAUCUAAGCCAUCCUUCACUAUCAAAUUCAAAAUAUGUGCACAACAACGCAUGUGAAGUAAAGUACCUUCACAAAGAAGCUUACUUUUUCCUAUCUUCCCCACAAUCUCCGCAAUUGCCUUGUCAUUGGCAUUGCAAUUAUCAACGGUCACAGUCAAGAGCUUUUCAUCAAGAUUCCAUUCAACCAAUGAUUCAUGGAGCUGAUCAGCUAUCACUUCCGCAUUAUGUGGUGCUGGAACAUAAAUAAACCUACAAUAUGCACACAAAUGCAAUAGUUGAUGAAAGCUUAUUAAUGGACCGCUGAAAAUAAGUACAACGAAAUGGACUGCUGAAAAUAUAUGAUGUGGGAACAUGUAUAUACCUCAUGAGAAUGUUCCUUAGCCUCCAAGACUCGUCAAUGAAACGGGCUGUAAUAGCCAUAUAUCCCUUCUUUUGGCUGUCAGAAGUCCACAUAUCGGUGGUGACUGCGACCCUUGAUUGUACCAUACUCAUAUACUCGAUGGCCUUCUUCUUUUCUAUGUCGUACCUUUCCACAAUGUCAGUUCUACAAAACAGAAGAUAAGGAACAGAGUCAAUGUUAUUUGCACAAGAGAAACUAGAAACAUUAAGAGGAAAUAGAAAACUAAAGACAUAGCAGCAUAUUACGGUUAUUACCUAAUAGUAUUUCUAGUAUGCAGCUUGAACAAUGGCUGAAGUGCAGCAACGAAUCUCCUAAAACCAACAUGGUCCACCAUAGACAAAGGAUAAUCAUGCAACACCAACAUGUUGCCAAGCUCUGCUCUAGCAUACUCUUGAUUAAAAGUGUAGCUCUCCAUGCUCACUUUCCCAUCAUUCUCGGCCAUCACCUUCAAUGAGGCUUGAUGCAAAGUUUUACCAUCCUUCGUCUUCAACUUCCUAAGAGUGCAAAUCUGAAGAUGCAACUUUAGAUUCUUGGUACCAUUCCUUGAUCCUGCGGUAAGUGUCUUAUGACACCAAUUACACUUGGCCUUCCAUUCUCCAUUUAUCUUGAUCUUCUUCAUGUCCAACCAAACCUUAGACGUGAGCUUGCGACUAGAUGGUUGAUGCGGAUGCACCUCUUCCGCCUCAUCCUCUUCUCCUUCAUCAUCUGAAAUGCUAACAUGAUUUCCAUCUUCAUCCAUUGGUGUCGCUGUGUCCAUGGACUCAUCUACUUGGCUAGUAUCACUGAACAAGAAAGUUAACAAUUCACUAUAUAGCAGAACCAGAUUUGUCCAAACUUAAUAUACCACACAAAAAUGUUUACAGGAUCAGUCAUAGAAAUUGCUUUGUAAAAGUUACAGAAAUGAUUCACCGUAUAUAACCUUCUUUUGUAUUACAAGAUCAAACUACACUAAAUGAUUUACAAAAACGAUUCACUUUAUAUAACCUUCUUUUGUAUAUACAAGUUUUUCUCCUAAACUAGAACAAGUCAAUGAUCUGGAAAUAAAUUUAUGGCAUGGCAUUCUAACUCCCAAAUUUGUUGUUCCAAUUCAUGGGUAUACAAAACUUCUAUCCUGAACUAGAACAAUAAAAUCUGAUUCUAAAGAUCAACAAGAUAACAACAUUUAGUACAUAUUUAUCAACACUCACUUUCAUGUUACAACAUACUUCAUACACAACAGAAUCAAAUAGAUCAGUUCAUGCAUCAUAGAAUUUUAUGAAAAAGUGAGAAAAAUUUCACCGCUUUGGACGCUUUGGUGCCCUUUUCGCUGGUGGGGUCAAUUUGUUCCUCGCAGAAGCAGGAGCAGUCGGACUCUGCCGGGUGCUGGCCACCGCCGUCGCACCUCCACGGCCACGGCCACGGCCCACCUUGUAACCGGGCGCAGAUGAGUUGGAGCGGCGCCCGGGAUUCUGCCCCGUUGAAGGUGGUUGGAGACGCAUGUUCUUGGAGGUAAACGAAGGCGUCGGCGUCCGCACCUGAGAACCACUCCCGCCGGCGCCAUCUUGUCCGAGAUCUUCCUCAUCCACGGGUGUUGAGGUUGAGCGGACGAGGUCCCCAUCCGCGCCGAAGUAGUGGGCCUCCUCGAUGUCCUCUGGACCGCUCUCCAUCCGCGCCGAAGUUGAGGCCGGGAGGUGCUCCGUUUACUCCGGCAGUUGAGAUGGAAGAGCUGCGGCAACGACAAGCGAGAUGAGUGGAGGAGGCGCUGUGGAGGGAGGAGAUGUGGAGACGAGGGAGAUGGCCUGGUGCCCUGACCUGGCAGCCGCAGCGGCCGGCGGUGGCGGCAGCCGGUGGCGGGGGCAGCCACCUAGGGUUGCAGCCCGGGUGAGAGAGAUGGGUGUGACGGCGCGAUGGGGUGAGGGUGAGGGGUCGAGGGGCGGACAGGGUUUUGUGCGCUGCGGGCCUGCGGGGGCUAGGGUUGCGGCCACUGGGUGCUUAGGCUAGGUUUUUUUUCUUUUUCUAGUGAAUGACAUAGGGGGCCUACAUGUAAGAUGUAGUAACAUGCGGGUAGGCGGGUAGACGGGUAUGGGUAUUGCAUUCCCGUACCCAUACCCGGCUUACCCGAUGGGUAUAGAUUUUUCUCAUUUAAAUACCCAUGGGUAUUUUAUUUUCCCAUACCCUUACCCUAAUAGGGUUUUUACCCGUCGGGUUAGCGGGUAACGGGUAGCCAUUGCCAUGAGGAACCUCAAAUAAGGGCAAAGUUUGAUAUCCAUGUGAGCCGUGUGUCGGAUCCCCUAUUGCACCACCAUGUCUUUUGGAUAACCUGCAAUAUCUCAACAUGGUUUAAACCUGGAAUUUUUGGAUAACCUGCAAUUAAGAUAAAUAUGGUUUAAACCAUGCACUUUUUUCCUGAAUAUGCCAAAACAGAAUUUAUGUCACAAUCCAAAAAGACAGUGUCAAAAUGCAGAGCCUAAUUGUCAAUUAGCUAUACCCAGAACAUUGACAGAUAUAAAAUAAUCGGCAGCUUAAUUAACUGCUAGAUACUGUGGCAGCAAAGCAGCUAGACAACAUAUAGGAGUAUUGUGAAGAGGGAGAUUUGGACGAAACCUGAUACAAUAGGGGAAUUGAAACCAGAUGUCUGCGAUGGAUAGGCCUCGAGAAUCAUCCCAUCAAGCAUGCGUAGUACCAGCAGGCAUGAGCGUGGACGACCGAGGCUGCAGAUUCAUCUUAUCAAAGGAGAAACUUGUGAAUCAAAAAUUAUGCUCGGGGUGGAGACAGAUCCCAUGGAGAAGAUAGAGACAACACAUUGACUUGUCGAGGGACCUGGGAGGGGUGGAAACAGAUGCAAUAGAAAAGGUGGAGAAGAAGGAGAUGGCUCCCCGGGGAUGAUGGGUUGAGAUUUCAAUCGAGGGGGAAUGGUUGCAGCCAGCAGUUGCCGCGGAGACGAUGGUAGGGGCUGCUCCGUGUAUCACUGCUUGAAGGCGAGCGGAGCUACUAUAACGAAUCCAUCUGCAACUCUUGCUUGGAGAAUAUGUGGAGGAAGGAGCAAAUUCAUCAAUCCUUUUAGUACUUGAGUGGACAUCGGAUAGGAUGAAGAAGAAGCAUACCAAACUAAUAAUGGUGAAGACAAAGUGAAGCGUACACGAGAAGAAGGGUCCGUGGAGAUGGGAAAAAUUUACGGGAGAUUAUUAGGAGUGACAUGCUAGAUCAGAAUCAGACUGAUUGGUUGGUUUUGCAAACUGAAUGCUGAUGUGGCACCAUGCUGGUGUGGACAUUGUGUAUGUUGAGAGAAUGUAAGAUUUCCUCGGCAUCUUUUCUUUACACCCCUUUUUUCAUUAUUUUAUUUUUUUUCAACUUUUUCAUCAAUUGAGCAACCUAUUUCUGACAUAGCUUAAUUGCAACGAUGCACAAAAACAAUUUAGCCUAGCUUUCCCAUCGUUCUGAUGAUUUUUGCCAGCCGAACGAGUGCAUAAUGUGAGCGAAGUGCUACAACCUAGUCCAGUUGAGAAAAAGUUUUUUUAGGCAAAGUUGAGAAAAAGUAAAAGACAGGCAGACGGACAAACAAACGGGAGAAACUAGUUAACGAGCGCUCCUUCGGGAGCUUCGCAACGAUCAGCGCCACGUGGCGCGCUCUCAACCAUUCGCCACGUAUCGCGCUAUGGACGCUCUAUCCGGAUUUUGGUUUUUUAUUUUUCCGCACGCGUUUUCGCUUUUUAACGGGGUUUUUCAAUGUUUUGGUUUUCCGCCGGUCUUUCUAAGCUUUUCGAUCAAAAGAAUUUUGAAAAAAAAAUACGCGAAAAAAACGCAUUUUCUUUUUUUUUCUUUCGCGAAAAUCACGGUUUUUUUCCGCGAGAGGCACGGUUGUGAUCAAUGUGGUGACUAGCACAAGCAUGCAAAGUAGCUCUCGUGAUAUUGCUGAUUUCAGAGACUUAGAAUUUCACUAAGUCUUUGCUCUGCUGUUAUUUUUUAUGUCAUGUAUUCAUGUUGCUACAGAGUGAUCCAUGCUUCAUUUGAGUAUGUUCAGUAAGGAUGAUUUUGAGAUAUUGUUGUGCUCUAUCCAUCCAUGUCCCUGUUUGCAUUUAUGGAAUGCCCUAGCAUGACUCGAUCUUGCUCUAGUUUUGCUAUAAAAUGUUCCUGGUAGAUUGUUUGCGUGUUAAUCAAUUUUGCCAAGGUUGUUGUAGUUGAUCCAUGCAUGAUAUGAGAUUGUUCUUGCCAUGGUUAGUUUCUUGAACAUGUAUUCUUGAUGGUAGUAUGCUUAUUUUGUCAUGCAAUGCCUUGUGUUGAGUGCAUCGAGCUCGCAAACAUGCCUUCAUAAUUCUGUUUAUGUUAUGCCCAGUUUUCUACUAAGUCUGAAUCUGUUAACAAAACUUGCUAUGUUUACAUGGGUGCCAUCGUAUUUUCUGUGCCCUUUUGGCUUAUGGUCAGUAAGGGACUUUUGUUAUAUGCUUUGAGUAGUUUCAUGCCAUGCCUUGAUUUGCUAUGAUAUGUUCCUGUAGCAUGUUGUUAUCUUGCUCUAAACAUUGCUUCCUGAUGUUAAUUCCUGGCAUGUUGUUAUUUUCUCUAAGUCUGUGAUGUUGAUAUCUUUUCCUCUUUUUCCAUGCUUGUUUGAACCUGCUAUUAUGUGAUUUAGCUGUAGCUCAGUGUUCAUCUUUUGUCAAGCAUCUUGAGUAGAUCACUUCCAUGUGCUUUGUUGUUAUGUUAGAGUGCAGUAGCUUAGUUUAUUGUUGCAUUCAGAUGGCAUCGUGCUGUUAAUCGCAGAAUUGUGCCAUUAUUGUUUUGCUUCCCAUUUGCAAACCAUGCAUCCGAUUCCAGUGAUCUUUAUAUCGAUUUCGACCAAAAUCAACUCAUCUUUCCAGCGGCACUCUUGGUUUGCCAAGUUGAUGCCUUGUUCAAUUUUUCCCUUCCGGAGCAUGCAUAUGCAUUGCAUGUCACAUCCCGCAUAUCAUGCCAUGUUUUGCAUCAUGUUGCUUACGCAUUGCACCGUGGUUGAUUGUUGUUUUCCUUUGCUUGUGUUCUUGCCUUGGGUAGAGCCCGGAGACGAGUUCGUGUUCGAGGAACCAGUUGAGUACCCUUAUGAGGAUCAAGCUUACUUCAACUCGGAGAACUUUGCAGGCAAGAUGACCAUACCCUCGAAAUCACUUUUAUCUUUGCUUGCUAGUUGCUCGCUCUAUUGCUAUGCCGCAAUACCUACCACUUGCUUUAUCAUGCCUCCCAUAUGGCCAUGUCAAGCCUCUAACCCACCUUUCCUAGCAAACCGUUGUUUGGCUAUGUUACCGCUUUGCUCAGCCCCUCUUAUAGUGUUGCUAGUUGCAGGUGAAGAUGGAGUUUGUUCCAUGUUGGAACAUGGACAUGUUGGGAUAUCACAAUAUCUCUUAUUUAAUUAAUGCACCUAUAUACUUGUUAAAGGGUGGAAGGCUCGGCCUUAUGCCUGGUGUUUUGUUCCACUCUUGCCGCCCUAGUUUCCGUCAUACCGGUGUUAUGUUCCUUGAUUUUGCGUUCCAUACGCGGUUGGGUUAUAAUGGGAACCCCUUGACAAUUCGCCUUGAAUAAAACUCCUCCAGCAAGGCCCAACCUUGGUUUUACCAUUUGCCACCUAAGCCUUUUUCCCUUGGGUUCUGCAGACUCAAGGGUCAUCUUUAUUUAAACCCCCAGGCCAAUGCUCCUCUGAGUGUUGGUCCAAACUAGAGCACCGUGCAAGACCAUCCCUUGGCAACUUGUGUUACAUCGGCUCCUGUAUGCUUAGCUUAUCCGGUGUGCCCUGAGACCGAGAUAUGUGCAGCUCCUAUCGGGAUCUGUCGGCACCGCGGGUCGUCUUGCUGGUCUUAUUUUACCACUAUCGAGAUGUCUUGUAACUGGGAUUCCGAGUCUGAUCGGGUCUUCCUGGGAUAAGGAAUAUCCUUCAUUGUCCGUGAGAGCUUGUGAUGGGCUAAGUUGGGACACCCCUGCAUGGAUUUGAACUUUCGAAAGUCGUGCCCGCGUUUAUGGGCAGAUGGGAAUUUGUUAAUGUCCGGAUGUAGAAAACUUGACACUUAACUUAACUAAAAUGCAUCAACCGCGUGUGUAGCCGUGAUGGUCUCUUCUAGGCAGAGUCCGGGAAGUGAACACGGUUCUUGUGUUAUGCUUGGAUGUAAGUAGUUUCAGGAUCACUUCUUGAUCACUUCUAGUUCACGAACAUGCUUUGCUUCUCUUCUCGCUCUUAUUUGCGUAAGUUAGCCACCAUAUAUGCUAGUGCUUGUUGCAGCUCCACCUCACUACCUUUUCCUACCCAUAAGCUUAAAUAGUCUUGAUCUCGCGGGUGUGAGAUUGCUGAGUCCCCAUGGCUCACAGAUAAUUCCAAAACAGUUGCAGGUGCCGAUGAUACCAGUGCAGGUGAUUCAACCCAGCUCAGAUGGAAGCUCAAUGAAGAUCGUGUUCAUUGUGUUGUUUCGUUCCCAGUUGGUCAGCAGUGGAGCCUAGUCGGGGCGAUCGGGGAUCUAGCAUUAGGGGUGGUCGUCUUUUAUUUUGGUUCCGUAGUCGGACCUUGAUUGUAUUCUGGAUGAUGUAAUGCUAUAUUUAUGUAUUGUGUGAAGUGGCGAUUGUAAGCCAACUCUUUAUCCCUUUCUUUUUCAGUACAUGGGAUGUGUAAAGAUUACCCCUCUUGCGGCAUGCCUACUAUGCGGUUAUGCCUCUAAGUCGUGCUCCGACGCGUGGGAGAUAUAGCCGCAUCGUGGGUGUUACAAGUUGGUAAUCAGAGCCUUCCCCGACUUAGGAGCCCCAUGCUUGAUCGAAUCGCUAGCGUUGUUGAGUCUAGAAAAAUGUUUUGAAUCUUUUAGGAUUAUAUAUAUCGGAGAGUAGGAUUCGUUUUAUUCCUCAGUCCCUUCAUCGCUCUGGUGAGGCCUCCUGACGUAGAGUUUUGACUCUUCUCUUCUCAAAUUUCACUAAAAAAAAUUUAGGAUCACGCAGGUAUCUUGGAAUCGUUCUGAUAGUCUUGUGACGAGAACAUUGUUCUUGGUGCCUCCUAACAUUUAGGGGUUGUGGCAGUGUCCCGAGGAGUUGAGCUCCCAGGUGUUGUCGUCACAAUUUUAUCGUUGCAGUUCUGGAAUACCCGAGUUUCGCCGACAUCGAAUAUCUCUUUUAUGCAGUUGUUAGUGAGAUAACCUCGAUGCCACCCAGUACUGGGGCGGGAGUUCGGGAGUAUUGCCAUAACUCGUAUAACGGAUGCUUUUCAAAGGUUGAGGUAAACGAUUUUCGAAGGUUUCUUGGUUAUGUGUUGAAGGAUGGAUACAGCUGGAUGUAGGAUUUGUUAGUUUUGGGUGAGAUAUUAUGCUUCCCCUAUAUCCCCAACACCUGAUUGCAUAACCGGAAAGUUCCGGGAGUUUAUAAGUGGGAAUUCAAGUAGCUCCUAGGAUAUCUUUCCGACAGAUGCAUGAUAUGAGAUUGGGGUUCGACGUCUAGUGGUCCGCCUAUCCACGGUUGGUUUUACAGUGGUCUCGUUGUGUCUUAAAGAGUCCUUGGCUAUGCUGACUCGGGGACGCUUCGUAUGUCAUGUGCACUGCCUUGUACAUGAUGGUGUUGUACGAUCGAGCCCGUGUGGGCCCCACCACUAAAACUUCGGACAAAUUCUCUAUCAUAUGUUUGUUCCGGCUUAUUUUGCAAGCCAAUCCUUUGUUUUUGUUUUCAGUUGUGGUAUUCGAGUUGCUUCAAAGUCAAAUGUGGAUUCCAUACCUUUUCCUAAGCGGUGUUCUCAUAUUUCUAUGUGAAUACUAAUCCUUCUUUAUCUUCGAGUUUGCCAUCUCAAUUUCUUCUCAACCGGUGUGUCUCUCUUCAAGUGGAUCCGAUCUUUUUCAACAUCCGCAAGAUCAACUCAAGUCCUCUCAACAUUGUUUCUUUCAUCCGUCUCCAAGUUGCCUUUGUUUUUCCGCCCUCCCAUCCCUUUUUCUUCAAGGACUCAGACUUCUUAAUCAAGUAUCCAUUUUAUUCAUGUGAAGUCUCUCCAUUCUUUUCCGUCAAUGUUCUUAUCCGGUGAUUCUCAAGAAGAUGCUAACGUAGCUUCAAGUUCAUCAUUCUUUGUUUCUUUUAUCUUCUCUGGUGGUUCCUACUCAAGCCUUUCAGUGUUGAUCAUAUUCCUUUCAUUGUUUCAAAUGUUUUCCCAUGCCGGUGCACCUCUUAAUCACUCACCUCUCACUAUUCAUUUGUUCCGGAGGCUGAAGAUAUCUCUAAGAUUCAUGUUUCCACUCUGCAUUCGUUCAAGCUCUUUCGAGAUUGUUAUCUCAUCCAAGCCAUUUUAUUCAACUGGUGCAAUCUCUCUUUUAAAUCCUUCAACGGUGUUUCUUUUCAGUGGGCCCUAACCCACAGGUCUUUUUCCAGGAUCUUACCUGACUCUUCUUAUUUUCCCGGAUCUAUCCUCAAAUUUCUUUUCGAAGUUUGACGUAAGAAUGAAUUAUCAUCAGUCAUAUGUAUUUCUCCAUGAUCUUUCAAAUUCUUUUCAUCGUUGGCUCAACCUUUCCAAUUUUCAUUCCGGAGUGCAUCAAAAAUUCUCAGUGGUGGUUCUCGUCAUCAUUCUCAACAUUUGAAGACCGAAGAAGAGUUUUUCCUCCCAAUCAUAUCCGUUCUCUUGAAGAUUCGUGGUUCAAGCUUGUUGCAUCCUCUCAUAAUUGUUUUCGAUUGUGAGAAUAUUUUUCACUUAUCCGGAGCAAUUCAAGAUUCUUUUUAGUUUGAUUCGUCCAAAGCCCAUCAUUUCAGAAGAUUUAUUCAUUUCCAGCUUUUAGCUCGCAUUCUCCAAAUCUUACCGGUGCAUCAUUCAAGUAUUCUCUUAUCAGCUCGUGAUCUUUUCGUUCUCAUGUAUCUAAAUCCCCUCAAGUAUUUUCAUUCGUUCUCUAAUUCUUCCCGGUGUUUCUUUAUCUUUUCUUCAAUCGUUUUCAAAUUCUUACGGUGGACCGUUCAAGAUUACUUUCCUCUUGUUAUCAUAUCAAGUCAUUCGUUGUUUUCUAAAUCCUACCGGUGGUUUGUGGUGGUGCUAUAUCUAUCUUAAUCCUUUCUACGAGAAUAAGUAGUAUGCCAAAUCCGUUGUUUUUCACCAAUUUAAAUUGGUGAAGGAUAAGCAUAAUGUAAUUCUUAUUCUUGUUUCAUCGAGUAAAUUCAAUUUCUGCUUUCCGAAGUGGUUCAUCAUAUCACAUUCUCGGUUUGAGAUACUUUAUCUUUUAUUCCGGAGUUCCAAGCUUCCACUUUAUCUCGUCGCAAAGCUUCAUCUAAUCAUUGCAAGGCUUCAAUCUUAUUAUUUUCAUCCUUCUUUUCAUUUUGAUCAUCCUUUUGUUACCAGAGUUCUUCAUGGAUGUUCUACAUGAUGGUUCACCAAGGAUUUCAUUCCUUCUCGAAGUGUUCAUCAAGAUUAUUUUCAAAGGAGCUCAAGCAUUCUUCAUCUUGCAAUCCGGAGUGUAAUUCUUUCUACCGUAUCAUUGGAGGUGGUAUUAUGUCAUUCUUGAUAAUCUGAGUUCAUAUUUCAUGAUUCACAUGUUGUUAAGAAUGAGGUAUUUUAAAUCCAUUAAUCUCUUCAUUGGAGUUAUAUUGGGUUAUAUUUCACCUAAAGCCUUCCCUAAGGAUUGUUGCUAUUUAUGGUGCUUAUAACUGAUCCAAAUUUUUCAUUUAUCCUCCCGGUGAAAUAAGUUUCUCGUCUCCUUGUCCAUAUCAAUCCAAUUCUUUUUCCCGUGAGUGGCAGGUUGUCACCUCAUAAUUUGAGAUGUAUUAUAUAAGACCAUAUCAAGCUUAUUCUUUUCGUUGUUGAUAAUCCAACAACUCCGUUCUAGCAUUUGUUGUAAGCGUGCUCUACCAAGAUCUUGUUUUCUCCUCCGUUCAUUCCAUUUCAUCCUCUCAUUUCUUCCGGAGGCAUGGUGAUGUUGCUCUCUUCAACCCAUCUUCUUGUUUUGUCAAGAUCAUUUUCUUUCCUCUGCUUAAGUUCUUUUUGCCCUAUCAAGUCUUGCAUCACUUUUCAACCGGAGUGCUGCCCGAAUUUGUUCUUCUUCGUUCCUCUUUUCUGACGGAGAUUGUCAACUUCGUUCAUCUCCGUUGUAUUCUUUUCUCGUAGUUGUUCAACCUUUCAAGGUUCUUUGGUUUCACUCGUUUGUCAAAGAAGAAACUUAGUUUUACCUCUUCUCUUCCUCUUCCGUUUUCCCUCCGGUGCCAUCCUAGAUCUCGGGACGAGAUCCUCUCAUAGUGGUGGAGUGUUGUAAUGCCCCGAGACCGAUGUGCCAGGUGUCUUCUAGUUAUUCGCUGUUGUUGCCUUGUCAUUUGUUUGCGUGUCAUGCAUUUCAUAUCUUGUCAUCAUGUGCAUCACAUUUGCAUACGUGUUCAUCUCAUGCAUCCGAGCAUUUUCCCCGUUGUCCGUUUUGCAAUCCGGCACUCCUACGUCCUCCGGCGCCUCAUUUUGCCUCUUUUCGUGUGCGGGUGUUAAACGUUCUCGAAUUGGACCAAGAUUGGCCAAGCGGCCUUAGUACACUACCGGUAGACCGCCUGUCAAGUUUCGUGCCAUUUGGAGUCCGUUUGAUACUCCAACGGUUAACCAGGGAACCGUAAAGGCCUCGUGUGUGUUGCAGCCCAACACCCCUCCAAAGUGGCCCAAAAUCCAUCCAAACCCCCUCCAUCCUCUCGGUCGUUUGAUCACGAUCGUGUGGCCGAAAACUGCACCUCUUUUGGACUCUCCUAGCUCCUCCUACCUAUAAAUAUGUGCUCUCCUCCGAAAAUUCCGCGCAGAUGAAACCCUAGUCCUCUUCCUCCUCGCGCCGCCGGACAUGUCCAUCCCGUCGCCGGACAUGUCCACCGCCGCCGCCACAUCACCCGGACCAAUCCGGGGACGCCACCUCAGCUCCGCCCUCCCCCCCCCNNNNNNNNNNNNNNNNNNNNNNNNNNNNNNNNNNNNNNNNNNNNNNNNNNNNNNNNNNNNNNNNNNNNNNNNNNNNNNNNNNNNNNNNNNNNNNNNNNNNNNNNNNNNNNNNNNNNNNNNNNNNNNNNNNNNNNNNNNNNNNNNNNNNNNNNNNNNNNNNNNNNNNNNNNNNNNNNNNNNNNNNNNNNNNNNNNNNNNNNNNNNNNNNNNNNNNNNNNNNNNNNNNNNNNNNNNNNNNNNNNNNNNNNNNNNNNNNNNNNNNNNNNNNNNNNNNNNNNNNNNNNNNNNNNNNNNNNNNNNNNNNNNNNNNNNNNNNNNNNNNNNNNNNNNNNNNNNNNNNNNNNNNNNNNNNNNNNNNNNNNNNNNNNNNNNNNNNNNNNNNNNNNNNNNNNNNNNNNNNNNNNNNNNNNNNNNNNNNNNNNNNNNNNNNNNNNNNNNNNNNNNNNNNNNNNNNNNNNNNNNNNNNNNNNNNNNNNNNNNNNNNNNNNNNNNNNNNNNNNNNNNNNNNNNNNNNNNNNNNNNNNNNNNNNNNNNNNNNNNNNNNNNNNNNNNNNNNNNNNNNNNNNNNNNNNNNNNNNNNNNNNNNNNNNNNNNNNNNNNNNNNNNNNNNNNNNNNNNNNNNNNNNNNNNNNNNNNNNNNNNNNNNCCACCGCGCGCCACCCCGCCGCUGCACGCUGGCCACCCCACUCCGCCACGCCUCCAUACCUCGCCGGCGCCCCCUUUUUCUUCCUCGCCGGAGCCGGCCGCACCCGUCGUCGGAGCUGCGCGCCGCCCUCGCCGGAGCUCCGUCCGGCCGGAUCUGGAGGUGGACCAGAUCCACCAGGACAUCGAACCAAACGUCGCGCCACGUCUUGGAUCUCCUCGUCCCGCACGUCGCCAUCCCGUUGACUUUUCUUGGAGGUCUAUUUUUCUCUAAGUCCCUUCUGUGUGAUAUUUUCAGGCCAUGUUCAUCGCAUCAUAACUUCAUCAUCAUAGCUCUGUUUCAUGCGCAUGAUAUAUCGAAAUGUUCAUCAUGAUGUCCUCUUCAUUUUGUUACAUUGCACCAUGCUUGUUUGAGUCCAUCCUGAUGCCCUAAUUGCUAUUGCAAGAGUGCUUCAUAAUGUUAGGAGCUGAUUCUUAUCAGUUUAUGAGCAUUUGUCAUUUUUGCCAUGAUUAUUGUGUGCCUCCUAUGAGCAUGAGCUCUACAUGUGUUUUGGGCCAUGCCAUGCCAUCUUUACAAGGAUGUAUGCCAUGUAUUUUUGUGAUCAAUGUGGUGACUAGCACAAGCAUGCAAAGUAGCUCUCAUGAUAUUGCUGAUUUCAGAGACUUAGAAUUUCACCAAGUCUUUGCUCUGCUGUUAUUUUUUAUGCCAUGUAUUCAUGUUGCUACAGAGUGAUCCAUGCUUCAUUUGAGUAUGUUCAGUAAGGAUGAUUUUGAGAUAUUGUUGUGCUCUAUCCAUCCAUGUCCCUGUUUGCAUUUAUGGAGUGCCCUAGCAUGACUCGAUCUUGCUCUACUUUUGCCAUAAAAUGUUUCUGGCAGAUUGUUUAUGUGUUAAUCAAUUUUGCCAAGGUUGUUGUAGUUGAUCCAUGCAUGCUAUGAAAUUGUUCUUGCCAUGGUUAGCUUCUUGAACAUGUAUUCUUGAUGGUAGUAUGCUUAGUUUGUCAUGCAAUGCCUUGUAUUGAGUGCAUCAAGCUCGCAAACAUGCCUUCAUAAUUCUGUUUAUGCUAUGCCCAGUUUUCUGCUAAGUCUGAAUCUGUUAACGAAACUUGCUAUGUUUACAUGGGUCCCAUCGUAUUUUCUGUGCCCUUUUGGCUUAUGGUCAGUAAGGGACUUUUGUUAUAUGCUUUGAGUAGUUUCAUGCCAUGCCUUAAUUUGCUAUGAUAUGUUCAUGUAGCAUGUUGUUAUCUUGCUCUAAACAUUGUUUCCUGAUGUUAAUUCCUGACAUGUUGUUAUUUUCUCUAAGUUUGUGAUGUUGAUAUCUUUUGCUCUUUUGCCAUGCUUGUUUAAACCUGCUAUUGUGUGAUUUAGCCGUAGCUCAGUGUUCAUCUUUUGUCAAGCAUCUUGAGUAGAUCAUUGCCAUGUGCUUUGUUGUUAUGUUGAGUGCAGUAGCUUAGUUUAUUGUUGCAUUCUAGAUGGCAUCGUGAGUUAAUCGCAUAAUUGUGCCAUUAUUGUUUUGCUUGCCAUUUGCAAACCGUGCAUCCGAUUCCGGUGGUCUUUAUAUCGAUUUCGACCGAAAUCAACUCAUCUUUCCAGUGGCACUCUUGGUUUGCUAAGUUGAUGCCUUGUUCAAUUUUUUCCUUCAGGAGCACGCAUAUGCAUUGCAUGUCACAUCCCGCAUAUCAUGCCAUGUUUUGCAUCAUGUUGCUUGCGCAUUGCUCCCUGGUUGGUUGUUGUUUUCCUUUGCUUGUGUUCUUGCCUUGGGUAGAGCCCGGAGACGAGUUCGUGUUCGAGGAACCAGUUGAGUACGCUUACGAGGAUCAAGCUUACUUCAACUCGGAGAACUUUGCAGGCAAGAUGACCAUACCCUCGAAAUCACUUCUAUCUUUGCUUGCUAGUUGCUCGCUCUAUUGCUAUGCCGCAAUACCUACCACUUGCUUUAUCAUGCCUCCCAUAUUGCCAUGUCAAACCUCUAACCCACCUUUCCUAGCAAACCGUUGUUUGGCUAUGUUACCGCUUUGCUCAGCCCCUCUUAUAGCGUUGCUAGUUGCAGGUGAAGAUGGAGUUUGUUCCAUGUUGGAACAUGGACAUGUUGGGAUAUCACAAUAUCUCUUAUUUAAUUAAUGCACCUAUAUACUUGUUAAAGGGUGGAAGGCUCGGCCUUAUGCCUGGUGUUUUGUUCCACUCUUGCCGCCCUAGUUUCUGUCAUAUCGGUGUUAUGUUCCUUGAUUUUGCGUUCCUUACGCGGUUGGGUUAUAAUGGGAACCCCUUGACAGUUCGCCUUGAAUAAAACUCCUUCAGCAAGGCCCAACCUUGGUUUUACCAUUUGCCACCUAAGCCUUUUUCCCUUGGGUUCUGCAGACUCAAGGGUCAUCUUUGUUUAAACCCCCGGGCCAAUGCUCCUCUAAGUGUUGGUCCAAACUAGAGCACCGUGCAGGGCCAUCCCUUGGCAACUUGGGUUACGUCGGCUCCUGUACGCUUAGCUUAUCCGGUGUGCCCUGAGAACGAGAUAUGUGCAGCUCCUAUCGGGAUUUGUCGGCACAACGGGUGGUCUUGCUGGUCUUGUUUUACCAUUGUCUAGAUGUCUUGUAACCGGAAUUCCGAGUCUGAUCGGGUCUUCCUGGGAGAAGGAAUAUCCUUCGUUGACCGUGAGAGCUUGUGAUGGGCUUAGUUGGGACACCCCUGCAGGGAUUUGAACUUUCGAAAACCGUGCCCGCGGUUAUGGGCAGAUGGGAAUUUGUUAAUAUCCGGUUGUAGAAAACUUGACACUUAACUUAACUAAAAUGCAUCAACCGCGUGUGUAGCUGUGAUGGUCUCUUCUCGGCGGAGUCCGGGAAGUGAACACGGUUCAUGUGUUAUGCUUGGACAUAAGUAGUUUCAGGAUCACUUCUUGAUCACUUCUAGUUCACGACCGUGCUUUUGCUUCUCUUCUCGCUCUUAUUUGCGUAAGUUAGCCACCAUAUAUGCUAGUGCUUGCUGCAACUCCACCUCACUACCUUUUCCUACCCAUAAGCUUAAAUAGUCUUGAUCUUGCGGGUGUGAGAUUGCUGAGUCCCCGUGGCUCACAGAUACUUCCAAACAGUUGCAGGUGCCGAUGAUACCAGUGCAGGUAACGCAACCCAGCUCAGAUGGGAGCUCGAUGAAGAUCGUGUUCGUUGUAUUGUUUCGUUCCCAGUUGGUCAGUAGUGGAGCCUAGUCGGGGCGAUCGGGGAUCUAGCAUUAGGGAUGGUCAUCUUUUAUUUUGGUUCCGUAGUCGGACCUUGAUUGUAUUCUGGAUGAUGUAAUGCUAUAUUUAUGUAUUGUGUGAAGUGGCAAUUGUAAGCCAACUCUUUAUCCCUUUCUUUUUCAGUACAUGGGAUGUGUAAAGAUUACCCCUCUUGCGACAUGCCUACUAUGCGGUUAUGCCUCUAAGUCGUGCUCCAACACGUGGGAGAUAUAGCCACAUCGUGGGUGUUACAGCCGUGCCUCUCAGAAAGGAGAAAAAUACACGUUUUCUGUUUUUUUUCUUUCGCGAGAGUCAUGAUUUUGCUUCCACGAAAGGCACGGUUGUGCUUUCAAGAAAGUCACAGCCGUGCCUCUCAGAAACGAAAAAAAACGUGUUUUCUGUUUUUUUUCCUUCCACGAGAGUCACGGUUUUGCUUCCAUGAAAGGCACGGGCGUGAUUUUCGCGAGAGGCACGGACGUGCCUCUUUCGGAAAGGGAAAAAACCGUGCUCCUGGUUUCGGUUUUUUCACCCGAUUUUUUUCGUUUGGUUUUUUCGUGAAAAAAGUUCUUUUAAACCUAUCAACAUGGGAUCUAGUUUUGAAGAUCUCGACGCUAGGAAUCCAAUAGUGAAAACGGUUCGAGAUUUGGACGCACGGUUUAAAAGAUAAAACGUUUUGAAUAAACGAAUCUACGAAAAAAGGGAAAACUUCCAGGUUGCGACAAGUGACAUGUUGCAUGUGCGCCACUUGCCGCGAUCUGGGAAAGUGGAGUGUUCUUUGCAACGAGUACUCCUUAAUUGGUGAUUUCGCAAACAAACAGUCCAGCCCAAAAAAGACAAACAGUCUAACAGGCCCGACAGAAACAACUGAAGAGAUGAAAGAGGAAAGUAUCGUUUUCCCCCUGAAAUCCUCUCUGAUGGAUCAAUUCCCCCCUCAACUCUAAUACCGGAUCAAUCAGCCCCUCAAAUCUCUAAAACCGGACCAAUUCCCCCCUAAAGUGGUUUUGAACUUGAUUUUGAGUGGUUUUGACCCAGACCGCGUACCCGCUCUGCUCUCCUUUGUUUCGUCUCGCUUCAGGUGGUGCCAGUCAGCAUCGUCGAGUACGCGCUCCAGGGCUCCGCCUCCUCCCCGCGCGACGCCUCCACUGACUCAUCCUUGUCCUCCUCCACCUCUAGCUGCUAGGCCGGGAACGAGAAGAGGAUGAACUGGAGCUCCUUCGACAUCGGCGAGUACCAUGUGGCCGUCGCGCAGUGGUGCCGGGGCGAACGCGGCCACGCAGACCGGCGAGAGACGCCGUCGGCACCGGGGCCCAGAGCCGUCUCCGCCACAAGAGCCUACGACGGAGCUCGAAGACGACGAGAUCACGUUGCCGCCAUCCUCCAGCAGCCCCGACACGCUGGAGACGCUCAUCGAGAACGACGCCUGCGUGGUUGCCGCCUCGAACACCGUCGCCGCUCGUCGGGAGGAAGAGAAUGCGGGCUUAGUGCAGCAGAGCGUGAUCACGGGCGGCCGGAUGAGCGCGUCGACGGUGCUGAUGCAGUUCGUCUCCUGCGCUGGCCAAGCGGGACGCCGGUCAGUGCGGUGCGAGGCACACAGAGCGGUUCCCGCACUGGGCAGUCGGACUUGAGCAGGAGCAUGGCAUCAGAUGGCUUCUCGGGAAGCAUCGGCGUCCGUGUAGGCAUGGAGUGGGAGUACUUCUGCGGCAGCCUGGUCGAGACCAUGAAGACGGCAAGCGGCGAGCAUGCCAGCCACGGAGGCGAGCUGGGCGCACUGAAGACGCGAAGUGCACAGCCAUAACCGAGAGAAGUGCACGAUCUGGGUCAAAACCACUCAAAAUCAAGUCCAAAACCACUUUAGGGGGGAAUUGAUCCGGUUUAAGAGAUUUGAGGGGUUGAUUGAUCCGGUAUUAGAGUUGAGGGGGAAAUUGAUCCAUCAGAGAGGAUUUCGGGGGGAAAACGAUACUUUCCUCGAGAAAAAACAACAAAAGCCCACAACUCAAGCCCAUAACGAUGGAAAUCAAAACCCAGCAACUAAGGAGACAAAACGGGCCAAAUCUUAUGGUAGAUGACAUGAUUCUAAAAAAAGAUGGUAGAUGACAUCAGCCGACUAUCCCAGUUGACUGAUUCCUAGACUCAACCUUAUUACAAUGGUCUAAAAAAUUCUCAUGCAUGUUCAUCGUGCCAACCACGCUAGUAUGGAGGCGUGCGGAAAUUUGGCUCCACCUUGUCAUGUACAUGUUCUCUUUUCAACAACUUUUCCAUCACUUGAUUUCUUAACUGUCUCAGCUUCAGUAGCGUCAACAAUUGGUGAUGCCACGCCCGUAUCAGUACCUGUUGGAUGCUUAAACGACACAUGCCAUUGCGUGUUAGAAGGUUUUUCCCCGAAAAAGAGAUAAAGACGAUGACGAACACCAGUGGAUCCUUUUUAGGUAAGGGUAACUAGUCUAUGAGAAAGUCGGGCGGCAUUAUAUCUCUCUUAUAGCGAGACCUACCAUGCUCUCGCAUCACACGCCUCACUUAAUGGGCCGGCCCAGGCCCGUGGGAGGCCACAACCUAUUUUUCAUGUUUUAUGUUUUCAUUUUUCUUUCUUUUUUUCUUUUGUUUAUGCUUCCAAUAUUCUAAAUAAAUAUAUUACAAAAAACACUCAACAUAAGACAUUUGAAAAAAUGUUAAGCAAGCAUUUGAAAAUGCUAAAUGUGUAUAAAGAAAAUGUAUCUCAUGUACACGAAAAAUGUAUACAAAAAAUAUACAGUUUGUGUGAUAAAAGUUGAUCAUCUAUUUAAAAAAUUCUUAAUCAAGCAUAUGGAAAACAUGUUAAAUAAUAUCUGAAACAGUUAAUCUAGUAUUUUAAAAAUAUUAAAUAUGUAUAUUAAAUGUUGGUCAUGUAUUAAAAAAUUAUCAAACUUGUAUUUGAAAUAUGUUAAUCAAGCUUUUGAAAAUGUGCAUAGAAAAAAAUUGAUCAUAUAUUAAUAAAAAAUCUUCUAUUUGAAAAUUAUUAAUCAAGCAUUUGAAAAAAACAAAAGAUGUGUAUACAAAACAAUGUUGACCAUGCAAUAAAAAUAUAUUAACCAAGCACUUGAAAAUGUUAAAUGUGCAUGAAGAAAAUGUUCAGCAUGUAUAUAAAAAAUAUAAAAUAUGGGAAAAAAGUUGAUCAUGUGUUUAGAAAUUACUAAAAACGCAUUUAAAUAAAUUAAACAUGUAUUUAGAUUUUUUCAAUCAAGCAUUUGCAUUUUUUAAAAUGUCUAUAGAGAAAAUGUUGACCAUGUAAUGAAGAAAUCUUAAUCUUGUGUUUUGAAUAAUGUUAAUCAAGCAUUGAAAAUGUCAAAAUGUGUAUAGAAGUUUUUUUUGACCAUAUAUUUUGAACAUGUUUGUUUUGUAUUUAAAAAAUGGUAAUGAAGCAUUUGAAAAUAUUAAAAAAAACUAUAGAAUAUUUUUGACAAUGUAUUAAAAAUUAUGGAACAUGCAUCUUUAAAAUGUUAAUCAUGUAUUAGAAAAAUGUUAUUGAUAUCUAAAAAUGUAGGCUGAAAACCAAAAGAAAAACCAAGAAUAACAAAAAACUAUGAAACCAAAAAAGGAAACUAAAAAACUAAAGAAAAAAGAAACGAAAAAGAGAACAAAGAAACAAGUGCAAAAAGAAUGAAAGACAAUGAGAACCUACACAUAAAUACAGAGAAACAAAAAAAACUGCUGAAAUGCGUUGGAAACCAGGAAAGAAACAAUAAACCCAAAAAAUGAAGGAAAUGAGAAAGAAAAUAAAAAACAACAAAUAGAAGAAAAACAGGCACACGAAAGAAAAAUAAAAAAAGAAAACAAAAAUCCAGAAAAAACCUAGAAAAGAAACAAAAAAUAGAUGGAAAAAAGAGAAACCCAUGAAAACCGAGAAAUAAAUGAAGGAAAUCGGUUGAAAACAAAUAAAAAUGAAAAAAAACGGUUGAUGAAAUAAAAGAAUACGGAAGUAAGAAUAGAAAAAUGAGAAAAAAAAAUCAAAGAAAGCGGUGCCAACGUGAGUGUCUCGAUCGAGACCAGAUCGAAUGGAAAAAAUGCAGACAAAACUGGGUCGUUCCAAUGGCUAAACGCGGGGGGUUAGAUUUCAGGCGACAUCGACAUAUAUCUUGUUAUAAGCGUGAUAUAGUCCCCAGCGGCAAAAGUCUACAUUAGAGUUUGGGGACUUGGGCGAGCAAGCCUAGGAAGCUCAAAUGAUUUUGGGCCAAUUUGGGCAUAUUGAUUUUCGUAUUGUGAAUGUUUUUUUUUCAUAUAGUUGGACAAACUUUACGUAGGCUGGCUUUAGACAAAUCCUAGACCAUUCUCGAAUUCUCACACGAGGACGGACAACAGCGUCAAAACUUAAAUAGAAGACCUGAAAAACGAGAGGAGGAAAAAGCUAUACAAAUCCCAUAAAGCUUGGCGCUACGAUGAAGUCAUUUUCCCUAGCCAACUUUCCUUUGUCAUCUUGCAAACGGCCCAGAGCUUGUCCACAUCUCCACCCUCCCAUCCACAAGAAGGCCCAACCCAAGCUUUCAGGAGCCCCACCUGUCAGUAACCCACCCCAACCCUAGAACCGCCAUUCCUUUACCUCCAUCUUGACCCCACAUGUCAUUCACCCAUCAACGCCCGAGCAUAUAUAUACCCAGCUGGGCCUAAGCCCACCACGCGCCUCCUUCCCCUCUCCAACCUCCCAAAAAUAAAGGAGAAAAAGUAGAGAGAGAGAGAGAGAGAGAAACGCGAAACCCCAAAUCGAUGGCCGCCGCCGCCCUCCUCCGCCGCUCGCCGGCGGCGCGCGCCCUCCUUUCGCCGGCCCUCUCCUCCCGCCUCGUCGCCUCCAAGCCCCACUCCUCAUCCCCCGCGCCGCCGCCGCCCUCGUCGAAGCCCGCCAGCACCAAGACCUUCUCGAUCUACCGCUGGGACCCCGACUCCCCGUCGACCAAGCCCCACCUCAAGGACUACAAGGUGGACCUCUCCGACUGCGGCCCCAUGGUGCUCGACGCGCUCCUCAAGAUCAAGAACGAGCAGGACCCAUCCCUCACCUUCCGCCGGAGCUGCCGUGAGGGCAUCUGCGGCAGCUGCGCCAUGAACAUCGACGGCGACAACGGGCUGGCCUGCCUCACCAAGAUCUCCUCGGAGGCGGCCGGGGCCUCCACGAUCUCGCCGCUCCCCCACAUGUUCGUCGUCAAGGACCUCGUCGUCGACAUGACCAACUUCUACAACCAGUACAAGAGCGUGGAGCCGUGGCUCAAGCGCAAGGACCCGCCGUCGGCCGGUGGGAAGGAGAUCUACCAGUCCAAGGCCGACCGCGCCAAGCUUGAUGGCAUGUACGAGUGCAUCCUCUGCGCCUGCUGCUCCACAUCCUGCCCGUCCUACUGGUGGAACCCAGAGGAGUAUCUCGGCCCUGCCGCACUGCUCCAUGCCAACAGGUAUACCUGCACCUCCCUCAUAAGCUCUUGAUAUUGUGAAUUGUGAUGAUAUGCUUGAGUAUGUUGCGUCUGUGUUUUGGAUCUAUGCUUGAUCUGUUGGUGUGUCAUGCUGUGCUUGCUGUGAAAUGGUUAUGAGAUGAUGCGUAGGGUGGUUCUAUCUCGCUUAGGUAGUUUGGUGAGAAACUAAGUGCGUUUUAUCUAGGAGAAUGGUUCGCUGGUCUGAUGUGGCGCUGAAUUAUUUGGUACGUUUAUGCAAUGAUCAUCUGUUACUUCUUUGCUAGCUCCCUGGCAAAGUGGUGUAGAUGAUCGUUUGUUGGAUAGUGUGAAAUUCCCGUUUGGUUGAAGAUCGCCUAUACAUAUUAAGGUAUCAGUGAUUGUUUAUAUUUUUAGGUCCAUUUAUGUAAUGAUAAUCUGUUACAUUUUUGCUAGCCCCCCUGUGAAGCGGUGUAGAUGAUCAUUUGGUGGAUAGUGUGAAAUUUCAGUUUGGUUAAAGAAUGACUGAUACAUUUUAAGGCAUGAGUGACUGUUUGUAUUCCUUUUUAUCUGGUCUUUGGCUGAUUGAACUGGAAGUUGAUGCCACUGCUGGAAAUAAUCAUGAGUUUGUAGUUUUAGUAGUCUGCUUCUUCAUGACGUCGUGAGUCUUUUUCCUUACCUGAUUCUUGAUGACAUUGGAAGCCCUCCCCCCAAGUAGUCUGAUUCUUGACGAGGCCUUGAUUUUGAAGUUACUUUUAUUUGUGGUGGCCUCUCUUUCAGUAUAGAGCAUGCUAGUUUCCCUUUACCAGAAAAUUAUGGUUAUGUUCUACCAAGAUUAAAAUGAUAAUUGUCUAAUAUAUUUAAUGCCUUUUGCUGUAAGCUUUAGGAUGUUGUUAAGUCCAUGACACGUUCACCCGUUCACCCUUUUUAGGCUUCCGCUGUGGGGGACGCUAAUGAAACCGAAACCCAGCAUGCUUCCGCUGUGGGGGGCGGUAAUGAAACCAAAACCCAGCAUGUUCAUGCACGUCCAAGCUCGAGGAUACCAUGGGGUCUCAGUCUCAGAGAAGAGAAACUUGCGGGAUCACAAACGUAGAAUUCUUGCAGCAAAAUAUGAGCUGAGAGGAAAGCUUUAUAAGGCUGUCUGUAGGGACCCUGAACUUCCAUCAGAUAUGCGGGAUAAGUUUCGCUAUAAGUUGUCCAAGCUGCCAAGAAAUAGUAACAUGACACGUCUUAGAAACCGCUGUAUUUUCACGGGCCGCUCUCGUGGUGUCUACCAGAAAUUCCGCAUGUCUCGUAUCGUGUUCCGCACCUUGGCAAACAAGGGUGAACUGAUGGGUGUUAAGAAAGCGUCUUGGUAGAUGUUAACAGCUGGGUAGAAGAAAGAACUAGCUCUUCAGUAGUCCAGCAAAAUAAGGUUGCCCUCUUUCAGUGUUUGAUUCCUGAAACUAUCUGUCAAGCUUUUUUUGCCAACAAACGGCAUGGUUCUCUCUUUAUUUAGUUGAAGCAGUGUAAUGUACUGUUUUUUAUGCUAUUCAGCAUUUAUGAAGCUAAAGAUUCUGUUGUUUAAGGUUUCUACAAGCUGGCUGUUUGAUUCAGUAUUUAUCUGAUCUGGCUUUACUUCAUGUUUUCACUGAGAUUGCAUAUCUGAUCCUCUGAUUUAUCAUAUUUGUCACCAUGCUCCUGUCAUAACAUAUAAUUUAAAACAUGAUCUGAUAUAAGGCACAUGAAAAUUUGAAUAUCUUUUGACUAAUAAUUGCAACUCCCCUUAGUCAGAAGAAACUGGAAACAGAAUCAGAGGUUUUAGUCGUUUGUCACUUGUACAAGCAUCUCAUUUCACAUAUCUGCAAGUGUUUCAAAUGUCUUCAGCCCUUUGGAUUGGGCUUACGCCUGUAGAGUCUGAGAGAUAUGACAUGCUUCUUUGGCGUGUGCCGUAAACACAUUCGUCCUUCCAGGUGGAUCCAAGACAGCCGUGAUGAGUUCACAAAGGAGCGCCUCGACUCCAUCAACGACGAGUUCAAGCUGUACCGCUGCCACACCAUCAAGAACUGCACGCAUGCCUGCCCCAAGGGGCUCAACCCGGCGAAGCAGAUCGACACAAUAAAGAAGCUGCAGCUCGGAGCCUGAGUGAGGUCUACUACCCCGUGGAGAUGUCGAAAGUUGUAAUCAGCUGUCAUUUGGUUUGUUUUGGCUCCGUGGUGACGAAUAAUGGGUGGAAACGCAGGAUAUUCCCCGCUUGACGAUUCCGUGUAGGGAGUGAAUAAUUGCUACCAGAUUUUAUUCUUUUCGUGCUGUAUCUAGUUUGGUGGUUCAUCGUUGAUCAUCUUUUGAUGCAUGUCCAUGCUUCAAGUAAUUCAUAAACUUUUGAGUAUGUGUUGUCUACUUCCUUCGUCUGAGGAACAUAAACGCUUACAG